GCUCUUACCCGGGCCUGCAACCUCAUCAGUUGCAAUGUUUAUGGCUGUUGCAAUCUGGGGUUCCUCCACUGGGACCGUUUUGCCAUUGUACUCCAAGUAGAGCUCUAGCCCUUGCCUUGCAUGGUUCUGCAACCUGAUUAUAAGAGGUACCCUGGUGCAAAUGCCCUGGCUACGAGGAAGGUUAACACCAGCCAAGGAUUCAAGAACACUAGACUUGCCUGAUGACUGGUCUCCAACCACAACAAUUGUGGGGAGCUGUAUGCCUUCUUUCAUCACCAUGAGCAGCCUGAGCCUGUCGAUGACAUCAAGCAAAGGUCGGAUUUUGUCAUUGUAUGAUGAAAUAAUUGGGGCUUGGGCUGCUGCUGCUCCCACCACCUUAGGUUCUUCCAUAGGAGGAGUUGCUGGUUGAGAAUCUUCAUAAUCAUUGAUGACACCAAUGCUCCCUGAAUCAGCUUCAUCAUAGCUACCCAUUUUUUAGAAGUCGAGACAGGAUGGGAAUUGGCCAAACUUGAUGUUUUAGAUGGUUUUUUUUGUUGGAAGUUGGAAAGCAAUAAACUUGAACUAAAGUGAAGACAAAUUCAAUGAAGCAUGUUUGGCUUUAUAAUGAAAAUUAAAAUAGGGUAAAGCACCGAAAUUAGGAACAAUAAAGCGAUAGCAUCCUAUACCAAACCCCAAGAAACAAGCAAACGAAGCUACAAUGGGAAUGGAAAACUUUAUGUUAUACUUUGAAUUGUAGAAAAUAAUGAUACAAGGACAGAAGAGAGGAAACAGAACAAAAUCAAAUCGUGACCAACCAAAAGAUGAGUGUGUCGAUGACAGAAAGUUCGAAACAUAAACAGCCCCACAAGUUCCUACAGGAACUAGACAGCAGAACUAUAUGAAACAAUGUAUUCACAUUGAAGUUUCGGAUAGAUGCCACGUACAAGCCAUGUUGCCAUUACCUCAUAUGCUCUUUGUGUCAAAUGAGCUCCAUCCCAACUAAGCUGUUCAUUAGGGUUUUCGCAUACCGGUACUUUUGGAUCUCCGCACCAACUUGAUAAGCCAGAAUUGUAGUCUUCCCCAAUUCCGCAGCAAGCUUUUUGCAAUGAUGUUGGAUCAAAACCAGAUGAGAUUUUUCGAAAACUCAGAACAUGACUAGAACCAUUCACAGUACGAUCACAUAAACUUAUGGAUGCAAAUAAAUCAGACUUACCAAGCAGAUCAGCUUUGCUCAAAAGCCACAGGAAUGCAUUGUAGUAGUCACCGUAGACAACGAUUACAUCUGGAUGUUUUUCUUUUAGCUGAUCAGCAAUAGCUUGUUGAAGAAGAUGAUUAUGAUAGAUUGAAAAAAAGGCUUGACUUCGUCCCUUUCGUAUACCUACUCUAAGACAAAAAAAAAUCAUUUUAUUAAUUAAGCUUUUUGUUUAUUAAUAAUUUGUUUUUUUUUCAAAUUCAUUAAAUACAAUUAAAAACAUUUGGAAGAAAAAUCUAAUGGUAGACUAGAUAUAGUUAAGAUAAUAUCUAACAGAGAGAUCGAUGUUCGAGUAUUUGUUGAAGUUCCUACGUAACUUUUAAUAAUUUUACAAACGGAUAGAGAUAAUAGUUUAUUCGAACAUUUAUUUUUAAUAGAGUGAAGAAACCCAAUUAUUUAAUUUAUGGGUAAACUACAUAAAGGGUAACACAAGUAUAAAAAGUUACAAAAUGUUCAUCUAACUAUUCAAUAUUGUUUUUUUAGAUCACCCGGCUAACGGUGGCUACUUUUAAAAUUUGAAUAAUAGAAAUUUAACCCUCAACACUUAUAUAUUGUAUCAAUUUAGUCUUGAUUCUAAAAAAAAAAUUUAACUCUCAACAUUUACACAUUGUAUAAUUUGGUCUCUCUUUUUGUAAUUUUGCUUUUCUUUGUGACAUUUAGUGUUAAUUUUAAAAGAAUAAGAAAAGAAAAAAAAUAUUAUCUUAGAUUUCUGGGUGCUCCUAUUUUUUAUAUAUUUUUAAUCAAAUUUAACUGAUAAAUUUAUUUUUAACUUUUUAAGUGAAAGGGUAAAGAAAAACAAAGUUGUACUAGAAAAAAGAAGAUCAAACUACCCAAUGUAUAAAUGUUGAUAGUUAAUUAUUUCUGGAAUCAAGAUUAAAUUGACAUAAUUUAUAAAUAUUGAGGGUUAAAGUUGAUAUUAUGCGAAUAUUAAAAGUUGCCACCGAUGAUCAGUAACCAAAAAAGACAAAACUGAAUAACUUAGUGAUCAUUUUGUAACUCUUCAUAAAUUUUAGUACAAAAUUAAGUGAAUGUUAACGUGUUUGAGGCAAAUCUCGAUGAACAUGUCAUGCAACGCAUAGCUAAAGGGGUAGAUAAGAGCUUUAGACCUCUUUUAGUUAAAUGGUAUCAUUAUGAUUAUAGUGCCUCUUAAAUGUCAAUUGUUUAAUUUAGUUCCUUUCUAGCUUUUAUUUAAAUGGAACAAUUGUAAUUUAGACCCUUUUCAAAUGUUUAAAUUUAAUUUCAGUUAUUUUAACGUAAAAUAUUUUAGCUUUGUCCCCUAUUUUUUUAAUUUUAUCUUGGCUCUUCAUCACAUAAUUCAUGACUGACAUAUAUGCCAUAGGUCAUAAGAUUGAGUCAAACUAUGCAAAAACUCUUUAGUUUCACCUGUUUGAGCACUUCAAGGCGUUCUCACUCUCUAAACCCACCAAGGAUCUAGACAAAGUCGGGAGACAAAACUCCGACUGGGGACAAUACUGGACUUGCUUAUAUCUGCUUUAUAGUUGUAUUUGUAGCAUACAAUGUAUAUUUUGUCAAAUUUGAAUACUUCUUGUUUGCUUGUCUAUUAUUCUUUUGAUAGAAGAUACAACUUUCUUUAUUUGUAUGUCCAUAUAAUUUGUUACAUUCGAUCUGUGAACCAUAUUUGACCUUCAUAUUGUCAACCAUGCCACUUGUUCAAUGGAAAAUUACCUUUGUUGAUUUGUUCUUGGUUGACAUUAAGUUCAAGGUUCGAAUCAGGAAAACCAAUCUCUCUCCCCUUAUUAUAUUUAUGUAUAUACAUGUAUUUGACCUUCAUGUUUGUUGGUGAGAAAAUGGUACAGAGUAAAUUGAAUUUUGCUUUUUGUUUGGUGUGUUUCCUAGGGAAAGCUUUAUGGAAGCCAACAAGAAUGGAAAUUUGGUUGAUGUUGAUCGGAAGGCGUUCGAAACUUGGAAAAAAUGAGCGAGGAGGUAUAGGUCCCUUGCUCCUCCCACUUUGUCAUAACUUUUCAUUGGAAGUUUUCUGUUGUAAUUUUGUAUUGAGUAUCGUCCCGAGUAUUUUCUUUAAUAGGAGAGGAAACCAUAUGUUACUCAGCCUACAUGAAGGAUAUGACUGAAGCGGAUAAAAAUAUUGUAAAGGUAACUGGGAUUCAGAGUUUAUGGAUGCUAAUUUCGUAUAAUUUAAACUUUCUAGAGCGACCUAAAUAUGUUGUUGGUGUAAUUGGUGAAAUUGUUUGUUGUGCUUUCAUAGCAAUGCUGAUACAUUCUGAAUAUUUGAUCAUGGAACUUGUUCCGUAGAUUCUUAAUUCAGAACUAUGAAUAGGGGCAUACUAAGGCAUACUAAAGAUGCAUGAUUUUGAACUCAUGAUCCUCUCAUCUUUACAUAAUCUAUGUUGCCACUCGGUUUUCUCCCUAUCGUUGUCAAUUAUUGUCAUCACAAUUGCUUUUCAAUGAUUUUUUCAGUUAGAAUUAGUAUCUUUUCCUUGUUUUGUCCACAAAAGCAAGAAUGAUAUAUGAUAGCUGUGAUUUAUCUGACAAUUAGCUUCUCUAAAUCUUUCACCCUAAUCAAUUGUCAAAAAUUUGCUGUUCUAGUGCUUAUUGGCUUCUCGUUUUUAACUUGAAAGUUAACUUAUCUAUUGUUCAAACAUCAAAAUGGAACAAAGUUUUGCAUCAUAUUCGAAGUUAUUAAUGAGUUAUUUUCUUUAGGUGGAUGAUGAGGCUGAUUCAGCAAUGGUUGGGAAAUUUGAUGAGGUUUGUAUAUAUGUUUGGAGCACAAAAAACAUAGCAAAUAUAGAUAAAUUUACGUAUUGUAUAUCUACUUGUGCUUAAACUAAGUCAUUCCCCUGCCAGUUGAGGCUCUGAAACCUUUGGGCACUGAAGUUCGAGUUUCACUAUGUAAAUCAUGUGUUGGUUCUCCCCCAGAUUUAUUUUGUUUACUUAGUUAGAGUUGAGUUAGCUUCAGUGAAUGUAACGAUUGAUUAUGUUAGUUCCCCCCUCUUUUGCCACCUCUUCUUCGUUGAAUUUACAGUUCUAUGAAGAUUAUGGGUACUAUGAAACAUCUGAUGAUGAUGGUGAACCAUACCACUCUGGAGGAUUCAAGAGCUUAAACACAACUGAACAGUAAUCGAAGUCUUCCCCACAUUUCAGUUCAAUUACCUAACUUAACCGCAAUCAUAUAUUGUGCACAAGACCGAUAAGUUAUGGCUUUCAUGAAGCAGGGAAACUGCUAUCGAGGGCGGAACUUGAAGAUGUUCUGGUUUUUGUUUCAUGUCAAUGGACCUUAUCCAACUGGCAAUGGUGGAAAAAAAAAGUUUGCCAUUUUGAUUCAUUUGUUAAGGCAAAUCAUUUGGCUAUUGUAAAGUAGUUAUAGGGGUUUUAGCCUUCGAAGCAGAUUGGUAUUUGUUUUGCUAUUUGGCAGUGGCAGUGGCAAUGGCAAUGGGGGUUUCACAGGUGAGUGGCAAGGGCUAUAGAGGAAGCAUCAUUUUGUCUAUAUUUUUUUAGUUUUAUGGAAUUUGGUUGAUGGAAUAGGUGAUAUGUUGGGUUGGAUAAAAUAAUCUAUAUUUUAUUGAAGUUAUGUUUGUUUUUAUCUGUUAGAAAAUUGAAGAAUGAUAUUAGAAAAUAUUUAGUCAAAUAAUUUGUAUUAAUAAUAGUUAAUUAUGCCUUUGUGGCUAAGCUCAUGGAAAUCAUUUAAAAAUAAAAUCUAAUAAAUAAUUAAACAUAUGAUUUAAAAUUAAUAAUAAUAACAAAGUAAUAUGUACGAAAUUUAAAUAGGUAAAUACAUUUGAUUAAGCUUUAUGUUCUGUUCUAAAUUUGGUUUCUUAAUACUUCUUCUGAAUAAGUUGGUGUCGAGUUGAUUCAUGAUACCAAUUUAGUCACAUGGUUAAAUAACUAUAUAGAUACAAAAGUUAAAUAUUUAAGAUGAUUGAUGCCUUCUGAACAUAACACCAUUUAAAUUUAUAUAAAUGUAUGAAAAUACGAAAAAUACUCAAUAACAAUAUUUAUUAAUAAUUUAAAUUUUGAUUUUUUUUAGUUUUCUUUUAUUCAAUUGGUGUCAAGUUAAAUCGUGACGCUGAUUCAGUUACAAUAUAUAGAAUAUGACGUGAGUGACAGACCAAUUUUAUUUAAAAUUUUAAUAUAAAAUAACAAUAAAGGUUUGAUUGAAACGGAAAAAUUAAAGAUUUAAGUUGCUUGAUGUCUUAUGUAAAGGUUUAAAUCGCAUCAUUUGCUUAUUUCCUUAAGUUUAAGUUGUUCCUUAUAACUUUUAUAAAAAUGUGUGAAAAUACAAAAACACCCUAUGAUAAUGUUUAUUAAUUGUUUAAAAUUUGAGUUUUUAGUACUUCUCUAAUUAAAUUAGUGUCGAGUUGAUUCGUAACAUCAACUCAAUCACACUUAAAUUAAAGUUUCCAUACAUAGAACACCAGGUGGGUGAGAGUGAUAGACGAGAUUUAUGAAAAAAAUUCAUGUAAAAUAACAAUGAAGUUUCGGUUAAAAUAAUAAAUUUAAUUUGUAAUAUUUAUAAUGAUAAAUUUACACAGAAUACUUGCCAUUUGCAUAUUUUUUAUAAGUUUAUUUUAUUUUUUAAAAUAAAGUUUAUAUAAAGGUAUGAAAUGCAAAACUACCUUAUAAUAAUAUUUAUUAAUCGUUAAAAUUUUGAUUUUUUUAAUACUUUGUCUAAUCGAGUUGGUGUCGAGUUAGUCAAUGAUAUAAUUUAGACAUAUAAUUAGACAACAGUGUAAAAGUGUAGAUACAUAGAUCACAAUGCGCGUGAUAAGCAAAUUUUAUGUAAAAAAAAACUCAUAUAAAUAUUAUAUUAAUAGAUGAGAACAUCUGUAUUUAAUAAUUAGACAACAGUGUAAAAAUGUAGACACAUAGAUUACAAUGGGCGUGAUAAGCAAAUUUUAUGUAAAAAAACUCAUAUAAAUAUUAUAUUAAUAGAUGAGAACAUCAGUAUUUAAAAAAAAAAAUCCAGAAAGCUGAUUGCAUACCAAGGCUUGGAACAUGGCAAUCAUGGUACACAAAAAAGCCAAAAAAAAUUUAGCAAUAAGAUUUCAUAAAGAUAUAAAUUGUUUACAACAGUAAAUUAACACAAGAAAAUAAAAAUAAAACAAAGUAGAAAACUAACCCCCACCCCCAAUUUGCCGUCCACAGUAGUUGUGACCUUAUUAUAUAAUCUUCAAUCCUUAAUAAUCUAUACUAUAUAUAUAGAACACAGACACUUAAAACAUGCAAUAAGCAAACCAUGAUAAUGACCCAAAUUUUAUGUGAAAAUAUUAAACCAAGCAAGCAUCAUAAGCAACAAUCCCAUCCAUGAUCUUGGCCACACUAUCUUUGGACUCCUUUAACACCUUGAUGCUGUUUUUAAGCUUCUCACGCUUUGCAACAAUGGCAGGAGAUUCCACCAGCAUCAUCUUUAUCCCAUGUCCAUCUGGUCCCAUCAGCUCCUUCACAAUCUCAUCAAUGUCAUUGUGUACAAGAUUAUGAACAUGGUAUCGUAAAUGCAAUGCCAUGGAAUCAACCAAUCUCACCUUAAAUACCUUCCAAUAAGCAACCAUUCUCAUCUUCAGGUCGAAAGCUUGUUGCAGGAUCGAAACAUCCGAGUGUUUUCUGAGAUGUUCGAUUUGGAUUUCCCCUAAACCUUCGAGAUCCACACUGCAAGGCAGCGGCCGCAUGUUUGUUCCAGAUAUUUGGUUCAUGAAAUGGUCUUGUUGCUUCAUGAGCUUAUUCCACUCCAUCAUGUAAUCAGGGUUACAUGUGUAGCCUGUUAGCUUCUCCAUUUCUACAAUCUCUUUCACCCUAUUGAUUGAUUGCUCCCUCAGCUUUUGAACAAGGUUGUGAGCAGCUCCUUUUGCGGAUACCUUGAGGUGAUAAUACAUUUCCGAGUGGCGCGUCAAAACAGACAUCACCACAUCGUCUAUGUAAUCCCAAUACUUUUCGCUGAGUUUGAUAGGGAGAUACGAUAUCCUCUCGACUUUUCUCCGUAAGAUACGAAGGAAUGCUUCACAGGGAAGGAAGUUCGGUAGUUCGAUCCCCCUAGCAUCUUCCAAACCCUUGAUCUCUUCUGUUAAAAAGUCUUUUGAUAGAUUACUUUCCUCGCAGUUGUGAAGCUCAUCGGAGAACCGGUUCAGCAUUUCAACAAACCGAGCAGUCCCGUGCUUCGUGUUGUCCUCGGGGUAUUCAUCAAAUUCCCCCCUCCAAAGAAGUUUCUUCAGGGAUUCUUUAGCUGCUUGAAUGAUCCUCAUCAUAGCUUGAGUGGCAUCAGCAAUAGAAGUUAAGGCCUUUGGCAUUUUCUCUAGCUCUGAAACAUUUGCAUCCAGCUUUGCACUAAUGUUUUUAACAAUCUCUGGCAAGCACUUUGCAAUCGCAUUAGCUUGAAUUCGGACAAGAUUUUGAGCCAAAACAUGAACCCCCACAAUUGAUUUAUCAAUACGUGACAAAUGUGCAUUAGUUUCGAACAAUCUAGCCUCUUCCUUCCUUGCUUCUUCAUAGGAUUCAUCACCAAUCCGAUUCCGAACACAAACAUAACCAAGUCCUAUAUUCACAUCAUCUGCAGUAACCUUGUCAACAAGCCCUUCGGGGGCCCUAUCUACUUUAGUAACCACGGCAAGAGUUCUCUCACCAUUCUUGUCCACUUGUUGCGACAUCCUAAUGGAUUCACAAGUUGAAAAAUCAACCGUAGCCGACAGAACAUUAAGGAUAAUGCUUUCCUUUGGUGUUAUGUACUGCAUGAUGAUGUCCCGGAUCUGCUCAUAUAUGUUGUCGGGCUGACCAUGGACAGGAACUCUGGUAAUUCCAGGAAGAUCAACCAUGGUAAGAUCAGGAACCCCAUCUUUUCUCACCACCAAAGUCAAAGGGAUGUCAGAUAUGCUCUUACCCGGGCCUGCAACCUCAUCCGUUGCAAUGUUUAUGGCUGUUGCAAUCUGGGGUUCCUCCACUGGGACCGUUUUGCCAUUGUACUCCAAGUAGAGCUCUGGCCUUGGACUUGCAUGGUUCUGCAACCUGAUUAUGAGAGGUACCCUGGUGCAAAUGCCCUGGCUACGAGGAAGGUUAACACCAGCCAAGGAUUCAAGAACACUAGACUUGCCUGAUGACUGGUCUCCAACCACAACAAUUGUGGGGAGCUGUAUGCCUUCUUUCAUCACCAUGAGCAGCCUGAGCCUGUCGAUGACGUCAAGCAAAGGUCGGAUUUUGUCAUUGUAUGAUGAAAUAAUUGGGGCUUGAACUGCUGCUGCUCCCACCACCUUAGGUUCUUCCAUAGAAGGAGUUGCUGGUUGAGAAUCUUCAUAAUCAUUGAUGACACCAAUGGUCCCUGAAUCAGCUUCAUCAUAGCUUCCCAUUUUCUAGAAGUCGAGACAGGACGGGAAUUGGCCAAACUUGAUGUUUUAGAUGGUUUUUUUUGUUGGAAGUUGGAAAGCAAUAAACUUGAACUAAAGUGAAGACAAAUUCAAUGAAGCAUGUUUGGCUUUAUAAUGAAAAUUAAAAUAGGGUAAAGCACCAAAAAUAGGAACAAUAAAGCGAUAGCAUCCUAUACCAAACCCCAAGAAACAAGCAAAGGAAGCUAUAAUGGGAAUGGAAAACUUUAGGUUAUACUUUGAAUUGUAGAAAAUAAUGAUACAAGGACAGAAGAGAGGAAACAGAACAAAAUCAAAUCGUGACCGACCAAAAGAUGAGUGUGUCGAUGACAGAAAGUUCGAAACAUAAACAGCACCACUAGUUCCUACAGGAACUAGACAGCAGAACUAUAUGAAACAAUGUAUUCACAUUGAAGUUUCGGAGAGAUGCCACGUACAAGCCAUGUUGCCAUUAACUCAUAUGCUCUUUGUGCCAAAUGAGCUCCAUCCCAACUAAGCCGUUCAUUAGGGUUUUCGCAUACCGGUACUUUUGGAUCUCCGCACCAACUUAAUAAGCCAGAAUUGUAGUCCCCAAUUCCGCAGCAAGCUUUUUGCAAUGAUGUUGGAUCAAAACCUGAUGAGAUUUUUCGAAAACUCAGAACAUGACUAGAACCAUUCACAGUACGAUCUCAUAAACUUCUGGAUGCAAAUAAAUCAGACUUACCAAGCAGAUCAGCUUUGCUCAAAAGCCACAGGAAUGCAUUGUAGUAGUAACCGUAGACAACGAUUACAUCUUGAUGUUUUUCUUUUAGCUCAGCAAUAGCUUGUUGAAGAAGAUGACUAUGAUAGAUUGAAAAAUUAUUCUAACUCCUUUAAAAUUAUAUAUUUUAAUUUUAGCCUAAAAAAAAAAAUCUUGACUUGGUCCCUUUCGGGCAAAUUACACAUAAAAGCAUUAUUUUUUUAAAAUUUACGGAAAUAAGCUCGGUAUUUUAUUAUUUACUGGAAUGAGUCAUUUUCCCCAAAAUCGCGUCUACGUUAGCGCGAUGUCAGGGGACGUCAGCAAAUCGCGCCUCAAAAAAAAAAUCUUGACUUGGUCCCUUUCGGGCAAAUUACACAUAAAAGCCUUUUUUUUUUAAAUUUACCGAAAUAGGCCCGGUAUUUAUUAUUUACCGGAAUGGGCUAUUUUUCCCAAAAUUGCUUCUACAUCAGCGCGAUGUCAAGGGACGUCAGAAAAUCGCGUCCUCGUAGGCACAAUUUGCUGACGUGGAAGCAAAUCGCGCUAACGUGGACGCGAUUUGCGCCGCACGUGAACAGUACCCUCCGGUCAAAAAAUUGACCGUUUAUGUUUUUUAGCUUGGAAAACUUUGAAAUGCCAUAACUUUUCGCUCGGUUGUUCGAUUGAGAUGAUUUUUUUUAUUUCGAAUAACUUUUCGAGAUCUACGCGCUGACGGUUGAGACGAUUGAGGCGGUUUGCCGCAGUUUUCGUCGAAAAAGAUCCUUUUUUACCUCUAAAUUUUUAUUUUUUUCGGUUUAAAAUUAAAUUUUGAAACAUUCAAAUCAUUAUUUUCCUUAUUUAUUUGAAGUAAACACCGGAUUUUUUUUACAAAAUUAUUGUAUUAUUUUUUCUGAUUUGACACGUGUAUGGAAUAGGUCCGAUAAAUCAUUAAAACGUAAGUAAUAUAAUUAAGAUAAUAACAGUAUUUUUAUAAUAUGUUAAUUAAUUAGUUUAGCUUAGUUGGUUAAUAUGCUUGCUUUUUUCCUUUAGUACCUUGGUUCAAAUCUUGUUGGUAAUAAUUUUGAAUCUUUUUUGUACUUGUUGCAUUUAUUUUUUUAAUCAAUUAACUCUUCAAUAUUACAUUAAUAUAUAUUAUUAGUACAAUAAUAUAGACAGAUUGACAAUUUGAGCUACAAUAUUAUGAAUAUUAACUACAAUACAUAAUUUGAGCUACAUAUUACAGUAAUACAUAUUGGGCAAAAUACCAAAAAACCCUAUUUUUUUAAAAUUUACCGAAAUGGGCCCGAUAUUUUAUUAUUUAUCGAAAUGGGUCAUUUUCCCCGAAAUCGCGUCCACGUCAGCGCGAUGUCAUGGGACGUGUCAGAAAAUCGCGUCCUCGUAGGCGCGAUUUGUGUUCACAUAAGCAAAGCGCGCUGACGUGGACGCGAUUUUCUAACACGUCCCCUGAUAUCGCGCUGACGUGGACGCGAUUUAAGGGAAAAUGGCCUAUUCCGGUAAAUAAUAAAAUACCGGGUCCAUUUCGGUAAAUUUAAAAAAAAUAGGGUUUUUUUGGUAUUUUACUCGUCCCUUUCGCAUACCUACUCUAAGACAAAAAAAAUCAUUUUAUUUAAGCUUUUUGUUUAUUAAUAAUUUUUUUUUCAAUGUGAUUCAUUAAAUACAAUUAAAAAUAUUUGGAAGAGAAAUCUAGUCGUAGACUAGAUAGUUAAGAUAAUAUCUAACAGAGAGGUCGAUGUUCGAGUGUUUGUUGAAGUUCUUACGUAACUUUUAACAAUUUUACUGAUAACACUCUAGAAUACGUAUUUUUAUAUAUUAAUUAUGUAUUUAUUCUAAGAAUGAUGCUACUAAUUUGAGCUAUUUAUGAUCUUUUAUCUCAUAAGGACUAAAUUUGAGGUAAAAACAAAAUUAAUGGCCAAGAACGUGAAUUUAGAGAUACAAUAGGCCAAUGUGCUACACAAGAAAAAGUUGUUGCCAAAAGUGCAAGUGUGGAGGACACAAGGGUUGAGAUGCAAAAAGAAGAGAUUUUAUUCUAUCAGACUCUAUUUUAAUUAUAUUAGGAUAAUUAAUAUUAAGAUAAUUAUUAAAGAUUAUUUAAUUUUAGGAUUUAAUUUUAUUUAUCUUUAUUUAUCUUUAAUUAAAUGUAUUUAUCGUUUGGCAAUUUAAGUAGGAUUAGACUAUCUCCCCUAGCACUAUAAAUAGGGGUGAAGUGAGUCAAAAGAGGAUCCAUCUUUUUUGUAAACACUCUCUCCUCAAAAGUCUAGGCUUUUGUUCUUCUCAUAUUUCAUUUAAAUAAAAUCUCAAUUUUUAUUUAUUUUCUUUUCUACCACAAUCAUGAGCCACUAAACCUAUCUAGCCAAAGGUUGUCGAAAAUCUCCAAAAUAGUUUAUGAGGCUUAGAAUUCGUACUUAGCUUUCUCAAUGAGUGUUCAUCGUUUCUCUGCACUACGAGACUGACGCUUUCGUCGAUGUCCCUUAAGAAGUAAGCUUUUCAAUGUAUGCAAAGGUGGCCACUUUGUAUGUUUUGGGAAAGUUGCACAGUCGGUUUGUAAAAUAGGGUAAAGCACCAAAAAUAGGAACAAUAAAGCGAUAGCAUCCUAUACCAAACCCCAAGAAACAAUCAAAGGAAGCUACAAUGGGAAUGGAAAACUUUAGGUUAUACUUUGAAUUGUAGAAAAUACAUCUUAUAUUCCGUAUUGGAUUGUAGAAAAUAAUGAUACAAGGACAGAAGAGAGGAAACAGAUCAAAAUCAAAUCGUGACCAACCAAAAGAUGAGUGUGUGGAUGACAGAAAGUUCAAAACAUAAACAGCCCCACUAAUUCCUACAGGAACUAGACAGCAGAACUAUAUGAAACAAUGUAUUCACAUUGAAGUUUCGGAUAGAUGUCACGUACAAGCCAUGUUGCCAUUAACUCAUAUGCUCUUUGUGUCAAAUGAACUCCAUCCCAACUAAGCCGUUCAUUAGGGUUUUCGCAUACCGGUACUUUUGGAUCUCCGCACCAACUUGAUAAGCCAUAAUUGUAGUCUCCCCCAAUUCCGCAGCAAGCCUUUUGCAAUGAUAUUGGAUCAAAACCUAAUGAGAUUUUUCGAAAACUCAGAACAUGACUAGAACCAUUCACAGUACGGUCUCAUAAACUUAUGGAUGCAAAUAAAUCAGACUUACCAAGCAAUCAGCUUUGCUCAAAAGCCACAGGAAUGCAUUGUAGUAGUCACCGUAGACAACGGUUUCAUCUGGAUGUUCUUCUUUUAGCUCAGCAAUAGCUUGUUGAAGAAGAUAAUUAUGAUAGAUUGAAAAAUUAUUCAACUCCUUUAAACAAUGAAGUUCAUCAUAAGCAGUAGAAUCAUCUGUUUGGUAUUUGGUGAGAUAUACAGGAAAGCAGCCUAUGGGGAAGUUUCCAGGAACAACUAACCGAGUAGCACCAUAUCCGAUAACUCUCUACACAGUGGAACUUAUGAGAAACAGGGUUUCAAUGAUUAGAAGUGAUAUAAUCAGAUGUCUCUUGAAAGAAAACUUACUUUGGUAGCUUGUUUUAUCGUUUCUACUACCUCGGGCACCAUGGUCUUAACCUCUUCUAUGGUUUUUCCUUGCCAAAAGGCGUAGUUAUAGUCAUUUCCUCCUAUCUCCCCAACCAUGAAAAGAGCUUUCCCAUUUUUCUUGAAGCAAUCUACCAAAUAUAACACCUCAAGUGGUUAUUUGUGUUAAUCCAUUCUGAACAUCGUUAUUAUACCUGAUUACCUAACCAGGAGGCCUCAUUAGACCAACCGCUCCAUCAUGGAGGUCUCGCCUGCAUGAUAGCUCAACCAACUAAAGACACUCAUGUGCCUUGUCACACGAGCCACCACAAGGUCAUAUCAAGAUCCACUCAGGACCUGCUCCUGUCACAUCUAGUACAGGCUCUAUCACUCGACCAUUAAGUCUACAAGAAUAAUCUAUCUUCAACCUCUGCUAGCAGCUCUUGACACUCACGUGUGAGCCACCUUCAACCUCUUCCACCACAUCCUAUAUCAACAAACAUAUAUAUAUGUUGUGCGGAAGCGUGUAAAAGAGUAAAAUUAUUGUAUUAAAAAAUCACACUAAGUUCAAUUCCCAGGAAAGAGAGGUGGAUCACAAGGAUCGCUUAAGUACCAGGUCUUUCCUAGCCAGAAUAUCCCUCAAUCGUAAUUUAAUAGCACAAUAAAUCACUACAAUCACACACACAAUUCAUGCAGAAUAAUACAAUAAAGAACACAAGAAUUUAACGAGGUUCAGCAAAUUUUGCCUACGUCCUCGGGCACUACCAAAUAUAUUUCACUCCAAAAUACAAGUGAGAAUUUACAAAGAGAGAGAGAGAAAACAAUGCCUUAAGUAGAGAAUGGCAAGUUUGAGAUACAGAAUGAGAGAUGGUUAUGCCUAUUUAUAGUUGAGGUUCAGGGAUCAACUUGCAAAGUCACUUUACAAUUAGGGACCAUAUAUUACAAAUAUCUCAGAUUUUAUUAUGCCAAUAUCUCGAUACCCAUAUCUUUGACUUUCCAAUAUUUGAUACCCAUAUCUUUGACUUAUUAUUUGAUACCCAUAUCUUUGAUUUUCCAUAAAUAUGGAUAAUUCCCAAUAAUCUCCACCUUGAAGAUUUGAUUCGAGUAAUCUUAUCUUCACACAAUUCUCUCUGCCUUUGUCAACAACACUUGAUAGUGCCUUCUUCAACUGUUAAACAUGCAGAAUAUUGAUCAAGUUCAAACAAUGUUCGAACUUGAUUGUUGUUACCACCUUGGUCAUCAUAUCUGCGGGAUUAUCUGCAGUCUUAAUCUUCUGAAGGUGAAUUUUCCCCUCAUCAAUAAUUUCCCGCACAAAGUGGAAACGUACGUCGAUAUGCUUUGUACGUGCAUGAUAGACUUGAUUCUUUGCUAAAUGAAUAGCACUUUGACUAUCACAAUACACAUUAAUAUGCUCCUGGACCAAUCCCAAGGUUUUAACCAUACCUUGUAACCAAAUAGCUUCCUUUACAGCCUCUGUUACAGCCAUGUAUUCAGCUUCUGUGGUUGACAACGCAACUGUAGACUGCAGUGUAGACUUCCAACUUAUUGGUCCUCCAGCAAGAGUAAACACAUAACCAGUGGUUGAUCUUCGUUUGUCCAAAUCACCGGCAUAAUCAGAAUCAACGUACCCAACAACACCUUUACCAAGUGUAGUAUCCUGCUUGAACAGUAAUCCAAUAUCCAUGGUCUUAUGAAUAUACCGUAGAAUCCAUUUCACAGCUUGCCAAUGUCCUUUUCCAGGAUUAUGCAUAUACCUGCUCACUAUACUAACUGCUUGUGAAAUGUCGGGUCUUGUACACACCAUUGCAUACAUCAAGCUACCUACUGUAUUAGAAUACGGAACUUGUAACAUGUAUUCUUGUUCCGUAUUUGUCGAAGGAGAUAGUUGAGCAGAAAGCUUGAAAUGAGAAGCCAACGGAGUACUUACAGCUUUAGUCUGCUCGUUCAUGCCAAACUUCUGUAGUAUCUUCUUUAAAUAUUGCUUCUGAGAUAAACUAACUCUGCCAUGAGCUCUAUCCCUACAUAUUUCCAUGCCAAGGAUCUUCUUAGCUUCACCUAGAUCUUUCAUCUCAAACUCAAGGUUGAGUUGAGUCUUCAAUCUCUCAAUUUCAACUUUACUCUUAGAUGCUAUCAACAUAUCAUCAACAUAUAAGAGCAAGUAUACGAAAAAUCCUUCUUGUAGCUUCUGAAAAUACACGCAAUGAUCAAAUUUACUUCUUGUAUACCUUUGCCCUUUCAUGAACUGAUCAAAUCGCUUGUACCACUGCCUUGGAGAUUGUUUCAAUCCAUAAAGCGACUUUGUCAGUUUGCAAACCUAAUUUUCUUUAUCAGCAACCUUGAAUCCAUCUGGCUAAGUCAUAUAGAUUUCCUCUUCCAAAUCACCGUGUAAAAAUGCGGUCUUCACAUCGAGUUGAACUAGUUCAAGAUCAUAUUGCGCAACCAAGGCUAGCAAAAUCCGAAUAGACGAAUACUUCACAACUGGAGAAAAUACUUCAUUGUAGUCUAUUCCUUCUUUCUGAGCGUAACCCUUUGCUACCAAUCUAGCCUUGUAUCGAACUUCAUUUUUAUCAGGAAAUCCUUCCUUCUUUGCAUAUACCCAUUUGCAUCCAAUUGCCUUCUUUCCUUUAGGUAGUGUCACCAACUCCCAAGUCCUAUUUUUAUGAAGAGACUGCAUUUCUUCAUUCAUAGCUUGCUUCCACUUUACACUAUCAGAGUUACUUCUUGCUUCUGUGUAAGUAGAAGGAACAUCAUCAUCUACAAUUGGAAGUGCUUAGGCCACCAUAUCAUCAAAGCGAGCAGGCAUACGAAUCUCUCUUCUUGGCCUUCUAUAUGCAAUUGAAUCAUGUUGCUAUAGAAGUUCUUGGGUCGAAACUUCUUCAUCAUUUGUUCCUUCAAUAUUAGCUGGAUCAUCAUUAACCUUUUCAAGCUCCACCUGCUGCAAAGUGCCACUAGUUGUGUUAUCCUUUUGUGAAUCAUUGUUCUUCAUCAUGGUUGAUUCAUCAAAAGUCACAUCUCUACUGAAAAUUAUUUUCCUUGUAUCAGGACACCAGAGACGGUAUCCUUUUUCUCCACCAGUUAUACCCAUGAAUAAUGCUUUCUUUGCUCUUGGGUCUAACUUAGAUUCUUUUACAUGAUAAUAUGCAGUGGAACCAAAAAUAUGUAAAGAAUCAUAAUCAGUAGCAGGUUUACCAGCCCACCUCUCCAUAGGAGUUUUUCCAUUUAUUGCAGCUGAUGGCAACCGAUUAAUUAGAUGGCACGCAUAUGUAACUGCCUCAGCCCAAAAUUCUUUGCCCAAUCCAGCAUUGGACAACAUACAUCGAACUUUCUCCAGUAUAGUCCGAUUCAUACGUUCUGCCACCCCAUUCUGUUGUGGUGUAUCUCGAACAGUGAAGUGUCGUACAAUACCUUCAUCGUGACAUACUUGUAGAAAUGGAUCAUUCUUGUACUCAGUACCAUUGUCUGAUCGAAGUCGUUUGACUUUUCGACCAGCCUGGGUCUCCACCAUCUUCUUCCAUUUCAGAAAUACAUCCAAAACUUCAUUUUUCCUUUUCAUUAGAUACACCCAUACUUUUCUUGAAUAAUCAUCAACAAAAGUAACAAAAUAGUGCAUACCUCCCAAAGAAGCCACUUUAGUAGGUCCCCACACAUCACUGUGAACGUAGUCCAGAAUUUCUUUUGUAUUGUGAAUUGCUGAACCAAAUUUUAUCCUCGUCUGCUUGCCCAGAACACAAUGUUCACAGAAUUCCAAUUUUCAAGAAUUUGCACCUUUCAACAAGCCUUGCUUCGCCAAACUCUGCAAAGCUUUUUCACCAGCAUGUCCCAAUCGCAUAUGCCAUAACCUGGUAGCCUCUGAAUCUGCAUCUUUCGUAAAAGCUGUUGAUGUUGAUCCAAUAACUGUACUUCCAUUUAAAUAGUACAGAUUAUUCCUUCUUGUGCCUUUCAUCACCGUCAAUAUCCCUGCUACUACCUUUAGUAAUCCAUCUCUCAAAGUGAUUGUGAGCCCUUUAGAUUCUAGGACCCCUAAUGAGAUAAGAUUUUUCUUCAAGCUAGGUAUGUAGCGAACAUCUGUCAAGACUUGAAUUGAGCCGUCGUGAUUCUUCAAUUAGAUUGUACCUACUCCCAUUGUCUUACAAGCGCUAUCAUUGCCCAUAAAAACAACUCCACCUUCUAGUUCUUUAAGACUAGAAAACCAGUCCUUAUUAGGACACAUAUGGUAAGUACAUCCCGAAUCCAAAAUCCACUCAUCUGUAUGACAUGCCAUUGCCAUGCCAACCAAGCUAAAGUCUGACUCCUCAUCAUGCUCCGCUACACAUGCAUCAAAAAUAGCUUUACCCUUUUGUAACUUAGGACAAUUCUUUUUCCAAUGCCCUUUCUCACGACAAAAAGCACAUUCAUCUUUGGCAGGUCUCCCUUUGGACUUACUCCUUCUACCAGAUUUGUUGCUGCGCGAACGAAUUCUUACUGUUAAGACUUCUGUAGUUGUAUCUCUGUGAUCUUUUUUAUCUUUCUUUCGAGUCUCAGAUCUAUACAACGCACUACAGACUGCAUCAAAUGUGAUUGUAUCCUUCCCAUGAAGCAAUGUGGUGGUAAGAUGAUCAUAUUCAUCAGGAAGAGAAUUCAACAACAGUAAUGCCUUGUCUUCAUCUUCAAAUUUCUCAUCCAAAUUUAGCAAGUCUGCUAAAAUUUUAUUGAAUGAGUUCACAUGGUCAUUCAUCGACAUACCGGGUGCAUACGUAAAUCGAUAAAGUUUCUUUUUCAUAUAAAGCCUAUUUUUAAGACUUUUUGUUAGAAACUUUUCUUCUAGUGUAUCCCACAACUUCUUCGCUGAUGUCUCCCUCAUGACAGAGUGCUUCUACUCUUUGGCCAAACAUAGGCGAAUUGUUCCAUAUGCCUGUCUAUUGAUCUUGGCCCACUCCUUGUCAUCCAUUUUGUCAGGUUUUUCUUUAAGGGCUAUAUCCAGCUCUUGCUGACAUAAGACAUCCAGGAUCUCACAUUGCCACAUACCAAAAUUAUUGGUACCAUCAAAUUUCUCUACUUCAAAUUUCGCAUUGGUCACAGUAGUCUUUAACGAUGACUUUUCCAUUUUUUUUCUCCUCAAUCCCAACUACAGUACGUGAACAGUGCCGUGAACGAUCGUAUUCCCCAAGUACGAAUCUAGCUCUGAUACCAAUUGUUGUGCGGAAGCGUGUAAAAGAGUAAAAUUAUUGUACUAAAAAAUCACACUAAGUUCAAUUCCCAGGAAAGAGAGGUGGAUCACAAGGAUCGCUUAAGUACCAGGUCUUUCCUAGCCAGAAUAUCCCUCAAUCAUAAUUUAAUAGCACAAUAAAUCACUACAAUCACACACACAAUUCAUGCAGAAUAAUACAAUAAAGAACACAAGAAUUUAACGAGGUUCAGCAAAUUUUGCCUACGUCCUCGGGCACUACCAAAUAUAUUUCACUCCAAAAUACAAGUGAGAAUUUACAAAGAGAGAGAGAGAAAACAAUGCCUUAAGUAGAGAAUGGCAAGUUUGAGAUACAGAAUGAGAGAUGGUUAUGCCUAUUUAUAGUUGAGGUUCAGGGAUCAACUUGCAAAGUCACUUUACAAUUAGGGACCAUAUAUUGCAAAUAUCUCAAAUUUUAUUAUGCCAAUAUCUCGAUACCCAUAUAUUUGACUUUCCAAUAUUUGAUACCCAUAUCUUUGACUUAUUAUUUGAUACCCAUAUCUUUGAUUUUCCAUAAAUAUGGAUAAUUCCCAAUAAUAUAUAUAUAGGAAAGAUGCUAACCUUUGUUACCACGACAAGUUGUAUUGAAAUAGCUAAACAUCCAGUCAAGUUGUCUACUUAAAGAUAUGCUGGUAGGCACAAAGGAAACAUUCCACUUGGCUAAAUCUUCUGCAGACAUGGCAGUAGCUCCGGCAAACGCGAAAUUAAGCCCAUAAUCAAAUAAUCCAUCUUUGUUUAAGUAAGGAUCAAGAAAAGGAAUUCCAGCAGAUAGUGCUGUUCAAAUGUUCAAAACACGAAACAGUAAACACACUGGUUAAAAAAAAGUUAAUUAAACCAACAAAAAUCAAUACAAAUAUAAUCAUUAAUCAUCUUCCUAAACCUUUCUAGUAUGGGGUUGACACUUUUUUAGAGAAAAAAGAGAUUGAUUCUUCUCCAAGCAAUGCACCCAACGUGUAUGGUCUCAGUGAAGCUUUUGAUUAGAAUUUAGUAUUUUACCUAUAUAAUCAAUCAUCAACAAACCAUCGGAGCAUCUCCCAGUUGCUUUCUUGAAGGUUUCUCCAUAUGGUAACCUUGCAAAUUUUGAUGAAGGGUUGUCUUGCACAUCAUUACCCGUAUCUGCUAUGGAAUCCCCGAGCUGAUAUAUGGCAUCGAAAUUGUAGCUGCUAAGGAUAUGUUGAUUGUUGCAUGUAACGAAGUUGAAGAAAGAGAUGAUAAUUAGUAUAGAGAACACAAAACCUGGUGGUGAAGAUUUACUAGAAGCCAUAUAUGGAGAAAUGGUAUUACUGGGUAUUUAGCAUCUAAAUCUUAGCUCCCCCUAAAAAGGUAUAUAGUUGUGCUCCUACAGGUAGCUUUGAAUCAGGGACGGCACCAAAGGGGCAGUCAAAGGCCUUAGCACCCCCCAAACGAAAAAUUAUUAUUUUAGUCCCUUGAAAUUUUUUAAAUUAUAAGUUAGGUAAAAAUACACUUUGACCCCACAAGAUGAUUUUUUUUAAUUUAAUUCUUUUAAGAUUAUAAAUAACAAACAUAUAGAAAGAUAAAAUUAUAUUUUAACCUUUUUAAAAUUAUAUAAUUUAAUUUUAGCCUCAAAAAUAAAGUCUUGACUUGGUCCCUUUCGUAUACCUACUCUUAGACAAAAAAAAAUCAUUUUAUUUAAGCUUUUUGUUUAUUAAUAAUGAGUUUUUUUUCUCAAUGAUUCAUUAAAUACAAUUAAAAAAUAUUUGGAAGAGAAAUCUAGCAGUAGACUAGAUAGUUAAGAUGAUAUCUAACAGAGAGGUCGAUGUACGAGUGUUUGUUGAAGCUCCUAUGUAACUUUUAACAAUUUUACAAACUGAUAGAGGUAAUGGUUUCUUUGAUCAUUUAUUUUUAAUACGAGUAAAGAAACCUAAUUAUUUAAUUAUGGGUAAAAUACACAAGGAGUCACCCAACUAUGAAGAGUUAAAAAAAAGACAAUGGUGGUAACUUUUAAAAUUAGCAUAAUAGCAAUUUAACCCUUAACGUUUAUAUAUUGUAUCAAUCUAGUCUUGAUUCUAUUUUUUUUUAACUCUCAACAUUUACACAUUGUAUAAUUUAGUCUUUCUUUUUUAAUUUUGUUUUUCUUUGUGACAUUGAGGGUUAAUUUUAAAAGAAAAAGAAAAGAUAAAAAGUAUUAUCUUGGAUUUCUGGGUGCUCCUAUUUUUUUUAUAUAUUUUUAAUCAAAUUUAACUGAUAAAUUUAUUUUUAACUUUUUAGUUAAAAGAGUAAAGAAAAACAAAGUUGUACAAAAAAAAAAUCAAACUACGCAAUGUAUAAAUGUUGAGAGUUAAUUGUUUGAGGAAACAAGAUUAAAUUGACAUAAUUUAUAAAUAUUAAGGGUUAAAGUUGAUAUUAUGCUAAUUUUAAAAGUUGCCAUUGAUGAUCAGUGACCAAAAAAGACAAAAGCGAAUAAUUUAGUGAUCAUUUUGUAACUUUUUAUAAUUAAAUGACAAAAAAAUUACGUAAUUUAAUCUUUAAUUAUUUGUUUUGGACAUUGAUUAUUUAAUAACUAAUAACAUUCAAUAAUUGACGUUAAAAAAUUGUUUGUAUGAUGAAGUCAUUGUCAUCACCCAAAAGAUGUACAUAUAAAAGGAGUCACAAUCGGCCUCUACCAAAUUGAUUUUAGAAAGUAGACGCUAACUAUUUGAAAUAUAAUUGUUGUAUCUUAAUUUAUAAGUUAUUAUAUUAUUAUAUAAGCAUAAUUUUCUUUUGGUAGAUAAAGAUUAUUUCUUUCUAAAUAAUCUUUCAAAGUUAUUAAAUAAUCGUUGAAUUUUUUUGUAAUUUGGAGUACAAAAUUAAGUGAAUGUUAACGUGUUUGAGGCGAAUCUCGAUGAACAUGUCAUGCAAAUGCAACGCAUAGCUAAAGGAGUAGAUAAGAGCUUUAGACCUCUUAAAUGUCAGUUGUUCAAUUUAGUUCCUUUCUAGCUUUUAUUUAAAUGGAACAAUUGUAAUUUACACCCUUUUCAAAUGUUUAAAUUUAAUUUGGGUUAUUCUAAUGUAAAAAGUUUUAGCUUUGUCCCCUAUUUUUUUUAAUUUUACUCUUGGCUCUUCAUCACAUAAUUCAUGACUUCGCCUGAUACUGUGAGACCCAAUGUUAAUAUUUUAAGUAUUCAAAUCUCGGAUCGUUUAUGAACAAAAUUUUGAAAGAAAGAUGAUGGAAUAUUGACCUUGUAGCUGUAUAAGAGCUAGAAAGUAAUAUUAUAAAAAGAUUGGAGAUUAUAAGUUAAACACUUGGAAUUAUCGAAAAGUUGUUGCAGGAAGUUCGGUAGUUUGAUCGCCUUAGCUAACCUUCAAAGAUUCUUCAUCAAUUUAGACACCGAAAUCCCCACACUGUCAGAUUCGCUUUGAAAGAAGAGUAUGUGAAAUCCAUUAUACUCUAGAGCUCUCAAAGGGGCCAUGCAAAGAGGCUUCGAAAGAAAAUUGCAUGAAGUUCCCACAAUGUGUCAUUGGUUUCAUUAUGAUAUUUUAACCUUUAAUCAUUUUAUUUUAUAUAAAAAAAUUUGAACUGAUAAAAAAUUGAUUUCAAAUUAUUUCUAUUUUUAUUUUUCAAUUUUUAGUGUCAUUAUUAAUUUUUGUGUAAUUCAAUUGUUAAAGUAUGUAGUUUGAUACAUAAUUAUUGUUGUUAAUUUAGGAUAGCCAUGAAUGGGAUGCAUUGAGUUUGAAAUAUUUUAAGUAAAUUAUCAAAUUUUAUAAUAUUAGUUAAAAUUAAAAGAAUAUAUAUUUACUCCUUUUUUUUUCUCUUUGUAUCUUGAUUUGUGGAUUAGGUAACGAAUAUUGGUGUCCAAUUAUGUUAUGAUAAUAUAUACUUUUUUUUAUACAAUUUCUAGAAGUACCUGUAGCCUCUCUUAAGCCAUAAAUAGAAGGAUGAUAUGCUUCAGCGCACAAAAACUUACGUUUUCCUACAUUAGCAAUUGAGUUAAAACUCGAUCGGUAAGAUUUUAAAGAAAACAAAAUAAAUAAAAACUAAUCCCCCAAUUUACCGUCCACAGUAGUUCUGACAUUAUUAUAUGAUCUUCAAAUCUUUAUAAUCUAUACUAUAUAUAUAGAAUACAGACACUUGCAGCAUGUAAUAAAGCAAACCAUGAUGAUGACCUAAAUUUUAUGUGAAAAUAUUAAACCAAGUAAGCAUCAUAAACAACAAUCCUGUCCAUGACCUUGGCCACACUAUCUUUGGACUCCUUUAACACCUUGAUGCUGUUUUUAAGAUUCUCACGCUUUGCAACAAUGGCAGGAGAUUCCACCAGCAUCUUCUCCAUCCCAUGUCCAUCUGGUCCCAUCAGCUCCUUCACAAUCUCAUCAAUGUCAUUGUUUACAAGAUUAUGAACACAGUAUUGUAAAUGCAAUGCCAUGGAAUCAACCAAUCUAACUUUAAAUAUCUUCCAAUAAGCAACUGUUCUCAUCUUCAGAUCGAAAGCUUGUUGCAGGAUCAAAACGUUGGAGUGUUGUCUGAGAUGUUCGACUUGGAUUUUUCCGAAACCUUGGACUUCCCUGAGACAUUGGAUUUCUCUGAAACCUUGGAGAUCCUCAGGGUAAGGUGGCAACAUCAUGUCUGUUCCAGUUAUUUGGUUUAUGAAAUAGUCUUGUUGGUUCAUGAGCUCAUUCCACUCCCUCAUGUAAUCAGGGUUACAUGUAUAGCCUGUUAGUUUCUCCAUUUCUACAAUCUCUUUCACCCUAUUGAUUGAUUGCUCCCUCAGCUUUUGAACAAGAUUGUGAGCGGCUCCUUUCGCCGAUACCUUGAGCUGAUAAUACAUUUCCGAGUGGCGCGUCAAAACAGACGUCACCACAUCGUCUAUGUAAUCCCAAUACUUUUCGGUGAAUUUGAUAGGGAGAUACGAUAUCCUCUCGACUUUUCUCCGGAAGAUACGAAGGAAUGCUUCACAGGGAAGGAAGUUCGGUAGUUCGAUCCUCUUAGCAUCUUCCAAACCCUUGAUCUCUUCUGUUAAAAAGUCUUUCGACAGAUUACUUUCCUCGCAGUUGUGAAGUUCAUCGGAGAACCGGUUCAGCAUUUCCACAAACCGAGCAGUCCCGUGCUUCGUGUUGUCCUUGGGGUAUUCAUCAAAUUCCCAUCUCCAAAGAAGUUUCUUGAGGGAUUCUUUAGCUGCUUGAAUGAUCCACAUCAUAGCUUUAGUUGCAUCAGCAAUUGAAGUUAAGACCUUUGGCAUUUUCUCUAGCUCUGAAACAUUUGCAUCCAGCUUUGCACUAAUGUUUUUAACAAUCUCUGGAGAGCACUUUGCGAUUUCAUUAGCUUGAAUUUGAACAAGCUUUUGAGCCAAAACAUGAACACCCACAAUUGAUUUAUCAAUACAUAACAAAUGUGCAUUAGUUUCGAACAAUCUAGCCUCUUCCUUCCUUGCUUCUUCAUAGGAUUCAUCACCAAUCCGAUUCCGAACACAAACAUAUCCAAGUCCUAUAUUCACAUCAUCUGCAGUGUUGCGCGGAAGCGUGUGAAAGAGUAAAAUUAUUGUACUGAAAAAUCACACUAAGUUUAAUUCCCAGGAAAGAGAGGUGGAUCACGAGGAUCGCUUACAUACCAGAUCUUUCCUAGCCAGAAUAUCCCUCUAUCGUAAUUUAAUAGCACAAUAAAUCACUACAAUGACACUUGCAAAAAUAUGCAGAACAAAAAAUAAAGAACACUAGAAUUUUAACGAGGUUCAGCAAAUUUUGCCUACGUCCUCGGGCACUACCAAAUAUAUUUCACUCCAAAAAUACAAGUGAAAGUUUACAAAUAGGGAGAGAGAACAAUUGCCUUAAGUAGAGAAUGGCAAGUGUGGGAUGAAGAAAGUAAGAAAUGGUUAGGCCUAUUUAUAGUUGAGGUUUAAGGAUCAACUUGCAAUGUCCCUAUACAAUUAGGGACCAAAAUUACAAUUAUCCCAUGCCAACUAAUCUUACUUUCUACUUUCGGUGCCUUUCGGUGCCAACUUUCUGUCACUAUUCAUCUUUGAAAAGUCAAAGAUUGUAGGUAUCCAAUAAUCUCCACCUUGAAGAUUUGAUUAGGAUAAUCUUAUCUUCACACAAUUCUUUCUACCUUUGACAACAAUACUUGAUAGUGCCUUCUUCAACUGUUAAACUUGCAGGAUAUUGAUCAAGUUCAAACAAUGUUCGAACUUGGUUGUUGUUACCACCUUGGUCAUCAUAUCUGCGGGAUUAUCUGCAGUCUUGAUCUUCUGAAGACAAAUUUUCCCCUCUUCAAUAAUUUUCCACACAAAAUGGAAUCGUACGUCGAUAUGUUUUGUACGUGCAUGAUAGACUUGAUUCUUUGCUAAAUGAAUAGCACUUUGACUAUCACAAUACACGUUAAUAUGCUCCUGAACCAACCCCAAGGUUUUAGCCAUACCUUGUAACCAAAUAGCCUCCUUUACAGCCUCUGUUACAGCCAUGUAUUCGGCUUCUGUGGUUGACAAUGCAACUGUAGACUGUAGUGUAGACUUCCAACUUAUUGGUCCUCCAGCAAGUGUAAACACAUAACCGGUGGUUGAUCUUCGCUUGUCCAAAUCACCGGUAUAGUCAGAAUCAACGUACCCAAUAACACAUUUACCAAGUGUAUUAUCCUGCUUGAACAGUAAUCCAACAUCCACGGUCUUCUGAAUAUACCGUAGAAUCCAUUUCACAGCUUGCCAAUGUCCUUUUCCAGGAUUAUGCAUAUACCUGCUCACUAUACUAACUGCCUGUGAAAUGUCGGGUCUUGUACACACCAUUGCAUACAUCAAGCUACCCACUGCAUUAGAAUACGGAACUUGCAACAUGUAUUCUCGUUCCGUAUUCGUCGAAGGAGAUAGUUGUGCAGAAAGCUUGAAAUGAGAAGCCAACGGGGUACUUACAGGUUUGGUCUGCUCGUUCAUGCCAAACUGCUGUAGUACUUUCUUCAAAUACUGCUUCUGAGACAAGCUAACUCUGCCAUGAGCUCUAUCUCUACAUAUUUCCAUGCCGAGAAUCUUUUUAGCUUCUCCUAGAUCUUUCAUCUCAAACUCGAGAUUGAGUUGAGUCUUCAAUCUUUCAAUCUCAACUUUGCUCUUAGAUGCUAUUAGCAUAUCAUCAACAUAUAAGAGCAAGUAUAUGAAAGUUCCUUCUUGUAGCUUCUGAAAAUACACGCAAUGAUCAAAUUUACUUCUUGUGUACCUUUGCCCUUUCAUGAACUGAUCAAAUCGCUUGUACCACUGCCUCGGAGAUUGCUUCAAUCCAUAAAGCGACUUUGUCAGUUUGCAAACCCAAUUUUCUUUUCCAGCAACCUUGAAUCCAUCUGGCUGAGUCAUAUAGAUUUCCUCUUCCAAAUCACCGUGUAAAAACGCGGUCUUCACAUCAAGCUGAACUAGUUCAAGAUCAUAUUGCGCAACCAAGGCUAGCAAAAUCCGAAUAGACGAAUGCUUCACAACUGGAGAAAACACUUCAUUGUAGUCUAUUCCUUCUUUCUGAGUGUAACCCUUUGCUACCAAUCUAGCCUUGUAUCGAAUUUCAUUUUUACCAGGAAAUCCUUCCUUUUUUGCAUAUACCCAUUUGCAUCCAAUUGCCUUCUUUCCCUUGGGCAGUCUCACCAACUCCCAAGUCUUAUUUUUAUGAAGAGACUACAUUUCUUCAUUCAUAGCUUGCUUCCACUUUACACCAUCAGAGUUACUUAUUGCUUCUGUGUAAGUGGAAGGAACAUCAUCAUCUGCAAUUGGAAGUGCAUAGGCCACCAUAUCGUCAAAGCGAGCAGGCUUACGAAUCUCUCUUCUUGGCCUCCUAUAUGCAAUUGAAUCUUGUUGCUGUAGAAGUUCUUGGGUCGAAACUCCUUCAUCAUUUGUUCUUUCAAUAUUAGCUGGAUCAUCAUUAACCUUUUCAAACUCCACCUGCUGCAAAGUACUACUGGUUUUGUCAUCCUUUUGUGAAUCCUCGUUCUUCAUCAUGGUUGAUUCAUCAAAAGUUACAUCUCUACUGAAAACAAUCUUCCUUGUAUCAGGACACCAGAGACGGUAUCCUUUUACACCACCAGUUAUACCCAUGAAUAAUGCUUUCUUUGCUCUUGGGUCUAACUUAGAUUCUUUUACAUGAUAAUAUGCAGUGGAACCAAAAACAUGUAAAGAAUCAUAAUCAGUAGCAGGUUUACCAGUCCACAUCUCCAUAGGAGUUUUUUCAUUUAUUGCAGCUGAUGGCAAUCGGUUAAUUAGAUGGCACGCAUAUGUAACUGCCUCAGCCCAAAAUUCCUUGGCCAAUCCAGCAUUGGACAACAUACAUCGAACUUUCUCCAGUAUAGUCCGAUUCAUGCGUUCUGCCACCCCAUUCUGCUGUGGUGUAUCUCGAAUAGUGAAGUGUCGCACAAUGCCCUCAUCUUGACAUACUUGUAGAAAUGGAUCAUUUUUGUACUAAGUACCAUUAUCUGAUCGAAGUCGUUUGACCUUUCGACCUGUCUGAGUCUCCACCAUCUUCUUCCACUUCAGAAAUACAUCCAAAACUUCAUUUUUUCUUUUCAUUAGAUGCACCCAUACUUUUCUUGAAUAAUCAUCAAGAAAAGUGACAAAAUAGUGCAUACCUCCCAAAGAAGCCACUUUUGUAGGUCCCCACACAUCACUGUGAACAUAGUCCAGAAUUCCUUUCGUAUUGUGAAUUGCUGAACCAAAUUUUACCCUCGUCUGCUUGCCCAGAACACAAUGUUCACAGAAUUCCAAUUUGCAAGAAUUUUCACCUUUCAACAAGCCUUGCUUCGCCAAAGUCUGCAAAGCUUUUUCACCAGCAUGUCCCAAUCGUCUAUGCCAUAACCUGGUAGCCUCUGAAUCUGCAUCUUUCGCAGAAGCUGUUGAUGUUGAUCCAAUAACUGUACUUUCAUUUAAAUAGUACAAGUUAUUUCUUCUAGUGCUUUUCAUCACCGUCAAUACCCCUGCUACUACCUUUAGUAAUCCAUCUCUCAAAGUGAUUGUGAGCCCUUUAGAUUCUAGGGCCCCUAAUGAGAUGAGAUUUUUCUUCAAGCUGGGUACAUAGCGAACAUCUGUCAGAACUUGGAUUGAGCCGUCAUGGUUCUUCAAUUUGAUUGUACCUACACCCAUUGUCUUACAGGCACUAUCAUUGCCCAUAAAAACAACUCCACCUUCUAGUUCUUCAAGACUAGAAAACCAGUCCUUAUUAGGACACAUAUGGUAAGUACAUCCCGAAUCCAAUAUCCACUCAUCCGUUUGACAUGCCAUUGCCAUGCCAACCAAGCUAAAGUCUGACUCCUCAUCAUGCUCCGCUACACAUGCAUUAGAAAUAGACUUGCCCUUUUGUAACUUAGGACAAUUCUUUUUCCAAUGCCCUUUCUCACGACAAAAGGCACAUUCAUCUUUGGCGGGUCUCCCUUUGGACUUACCCCUUCUACCAGGUUUGCUGCUGUGUGAACGACCUCUUACUGUUAAGACUUCUGCAGUUGUAUCUCUGUGAUCUCUUUUAUCUUUCUUUCGAGUCUCAGAUCUAUACAACGCACUACAGACUGCAUCAAAUGUGAUUGAAUCUUUCCCAUGAAGCAAUGUGGUGGUAAGAUGAUCAUAUUCAUCAGGAAGGCAAUUCAACAACAAUAAUGCCUUGUCUUCAUCUUCAAAUUUCUCAUCCAAAUUUAGCAAGUCUGCUAAAAUUUUAUUGAAUGAGUUCACAUGAUCAUUCAUCGACAUACCGGGUGCAUACGUGAACCGAAAAAGUUUCUUUUUCAUAUAAAGCCUAUUUUCAAGACUUUUCGUUAGAAAUUUUUCUUCCAAUGUAUCCCACAGCUUCUUCGCUGAUGUCUCCCUCAUGACGGAGUACUUCUGCUCUUUGGCCAAACAUAGGCGGAUUGUACCACACGCCUGUCUAUUGAUCUUGGCCCACUCCUUAUCAUCCAUCUUGUCAGGUUUUUCUUCAAGGGCUAUAUCCAGCUCUUGCUGACAUAAGACAUCCAGGAUCUCACACUGCCACAUACCAAAAUUAUUGGUACUGUCAAAUUUCUCUACUUCAAAUUUUGCAUUUGUCACAGUAGUCCUUGCUGAUGACGAUGCUGCUGCCAUUUUUCUCCUCAAUCCCAACUACUGUAUACGUGAACAGUACUAUAUACGUGAAUAGUGCCGUAUACGUAAAUAGUACUGUAUACGUGAAUAGUGCCGUAUACGUGAAUAGUGCCGUAAACGGUCGUAUUCCCCAAGUACGAACCUGGCUCUGGUACCAAUUGUUGCGCGGAAGCGUGUGAAAGAGUAAAAUUAUUGUACUGAAAAAUCACACUAAGUUCAAUUCCCAGGAAAGAGAGGUGGAUCACGAGGAUCGCUUACAUACCAGAUCUUUCCUAGCCAGAAUAUCCCUCUAUCGUAAUUUAAUAGCACAAUAAAUCACUACAAUGACACUUGCAAAAUAUGCAGAACAAAAAAUAAAGAACACUAGAAUUUCAACGAGGUUCAGCAAAUUUUGCCUACGUCCUCGGGCACUACCAAAUAUAUUUCACUCCAAAAAUACAAGUGAAAGUUUACAAAUAGGGAGAGAGAACAAUUGCCUUAAGUAGAGAAUGGCAAGUGUGGGAUGAAGAAAGUAAGAAAUGGUUAGGCCUAUUUAUAGUUGAGGUUUAAGGAUCAACUUGCAAUGUCCCUAUACAAUUAGGGACCAAAAUUACAAUUAUCCCAUGCCAACUAAUCUUACUUUCUACUUUCGGUGCCUUUCGGUGCCAACUUUCUGCCACUAUUCAUCUUUGAAAAGUCAAAGAUUGUAGGUAUCCAAUAUGCAGUAACCUUGUCAACAAGCCCUUCAGGGGCCCUAUCUACUUUAGUAACCACAGCAAGAGUUCUCUCACCAUUCUUGUCCACUUGUUGCGACAUCCGAAUGGAUUCACAAGUUGAAAAAUCGACCGUGGCCGACAGAACAUUAAGGAUAAUGCUUUCCUUUGGUGUUAUGUACUGCAUGAUGAUGUCCCUGAUCUGCUCAUAUAUGUUGUUAGGCUGACCAUGGACAGGAACUCUGGUAAUUCCAGGAAGAUCAACCAUGGUAAGAUCAGGAACCCCAUCUUUUCUCACCACUAAAGUUAAAGGGGUGUCAGAUAUGCUCUUACCCGGGCCCGCAAUCUCAUCAGUUGCGAUGUUUAUGGCUGUUGCAAUCUGGGGUUCCUCCACUGGGACCAUUUUGCCAUUGUACUCCAAGUAAAGCUCUGGCCUUGGACUUGCAUGGUUCUGCAACCUGAUUAUGAGAGGUACCCUGGUGCAAAUUCCCUGGCUACGAGGAAGGUUAACGCCAGCCAAGGAUUCAAGAACACUAGACUUGCCUGAUGACUGGUCUCCGACCACAACAAUUGUGGGGAGCUGUAUGCCUUCUUUCAUCACCAUGAGCAGCCUGAGCCUGUCGAUGACAUCAAGCAAAGGUCGGAUUUUGUCGUUGAAUGAUGAAAUAAUUGGGGCUUGAGCUGCUGCUGCUGUCACCACCCUAGGUUGGUCCAUAGGAGGAGUUGCUGGUUGAGAAUCUUCAUAAUCAUUGAUGAAACCCAUGCUCCCUGAAUCAGCUUCAUCAUAGCUACCCAUUUUUUAGAAGUCGAGACAGGAGUGGGAAUUGGCCAAACUUGAUGUUUUAGAUGGUUUUUUUGUUGGAAGUUGGAAAGCAACAAGUUUUAACUUAAGUGAAGACAAACUCAAUGAAGCAUGCUUGGCUUGAUAAUGACAAUUAAAAUAGGGUAAAGCACCAAAAAUAGGAUCAAUAAGGUGAUAGCAUCCUAUACCAAAUCCCAAGAAACAUUCAGAGGAAGCUACAAUGGGAAUGGAAACUUUAUGUUAUACUUUUUAUUGUAGAAAAUACAACUUAUAUUCUGUAUUGGAUUGUAGAGAAUAGUGAAACAAGGACGCAAGAGAGGAAAUAGAACAAAAUCAAAUCGGAACCAAUCAGACGAUGAGUGCGUCGAUAACAGAACAAGUUCCUACAAGAACUAGAUACCAAGUAUAUUUUUCUCUUUAUUCCUUGUUUUGUGGAUUAUAUAACGAAUAUUGAUGUACUAUAUUUUUCUCUUUAUUCCUUGUUUUUGGAUUAUAUAACGAAUAUUGAUGUACGAUAUUUUUCUCUUUAUUCCUUAUUUUUGGAUUAUUUAACGAAUAUUGAUGUACGAUAAUACUUUGGUAUUGUUUUUACGUCAAAACAAAUAUGAUAUUGGACUUCUUCCCCCAAACAUUUAGACUGAUCAGUUAUUAUUCGAAAAAUUUUACCUAAAUACCAUAUUAAUAGAUGAGAACAUCUGUAUUUAAAAAUAAAAAUCCAAAAAGAUGAUUGCAUACCAAGGCAUGGAACAUUGGAAUCUUGCUACACAAAAAAGCAAAACAUGCAAUAAGCAAACCAUGAUGAUGACCCAAAUUUUAUGUGAAAAUAUUUAAAUUUAAUUUGGGUUAUUUUACUGUAAAAUAUUUUAGCUUUGUCUCCUAUUUUUAUAAUUUUAUCUUAGCUUUUCAUCAUAUAAUUCAUGAUUUCGCCUGAUAUCGUGAGAUUUAAUGUUAAUAUUUUAAGUAUUCAAAUCUCGGAUAGUUUAUGAACAAAGUUUCGAAAGAAAGAUGAUGGAAUAUUGACCUUGCAGCUGUAUAAGAGCUAGAAAGUAAUAUUAUAAAAAGAUUGGAGAUUAUAAGUUAAACACUUGGAAUUAUUGAAAAGUUGUUGCAGGAAGUUCGGUAGUUCGAUCCCCACACUGUCGGAUUCGCUUUGAGAGUAUGUGAAAUUCAUUAUACUCUAGAGCUCUCAAAGGGGACAUGCAAAGAGGCUUCGAAAGAAAAUUGCAUGAAGUUCCCACAAUGUCUCAUUGGCUUCAUUUAGAUAUUUUAAUCUUUAAUCAUUUUAUUUUAUAUAAAAAAUUGAACUCAUAAAAAAUUUAUUUCAAAUUAUUCUAAUUUUUAUUUUUCAAUUUUUAGCGUAAAUAUUGAUUUUUGUGUAAUUUUUUGUAAUUCAAUUGUUAAAGUAUGUAGUUUCAUACAUAAUUAUUGUUGUUUCAAUUGUUAAAGUAUGUAGUUUCAUACAUAAUUAUUGUUGUUAAUUUAGAAUAGCUAUGAAUGGGGGAUGCAUUGAGUUUGAAAUAUUUUAAGUAAUUUAUCAAAUUUUAUAACAUUAGUUAAAAUUAAAAGAAUAUAUAUUUACUCUCUCUUUUUUCUCUUUGUAUCGAAUAUGGUGUCUGAUUCUGUUUUGAUAAUAUCUGCUUUUUUUGACAUAAUAUCUAGAAGUACCUGUAGCCCCUUUUUAAGCCAUAAAUAAGAGGAUAAUAUGCUUCUGCGCACAAAAACUUAUAUCUUCCUACAUUGACAAUUAAGUUAAGACUCGAUUGGCAAGAUUUUAAAGAAAACAAAAUAAAGAAAAACUAAUCCCCCAAUUUACCGUCCACAGUAGUUCUGACAUUAUUAUAUAAUCUUCAAUUCUUUAUAAUCUAUGCUAUAUAUAUAGAGUACAGACACUUGCAGCAUGUAAUAAAGCAAACCAUGAUGAUGACCUAAAUUUUAUGUGAAAAUAUUAAACCAAGUAAGCAUCAUAAACAACAAUCCUGUCCAUGACCUUGGCCGCACUAUCUUUGGACUCCUUUAACACCUUGAUGCUGUUUUUAAGCUUCUCACGCUUUGCAACAAUGGCAGGAGAUUCCACCAGCAUCAUCUUUAUCCCAUGUCCAUCUGGUCCCAUCAGCUCCUUCAUAAUCUCAUCAGUGUCAUUGUGUACAAGAUUAUGAACAUGGUAUUGCAAAUGCAAUGCCAUGGAAUCAACCAAUCUCACCUUAAAUAUCUUCCAAUAAGCAACCAUUCUCAUCUUCAGGGCGAAAGCUUGUUGCAGGAUCGAAACAUUCGAGUGUUGUCUGAGAUGUUCGACUUGGAUUUCCCCGAAACCUUGGAGGUUCACACAGCAAGGCAGCGGCCCCAUGUUUGUUCCAGAUAUUUGGUUUAUGAAAUGGUCUUGUUCCUUCAUGAGCUUAUUCCACUCCAUCAUGUAAUCAGGGUUACAUGUAUAGCCUGUUAGCUUCUCCAUUUCUACUAUCUCUUUCACCCUAUUGAUUGAUUGCUCCCUCAGCUUUUGAACAAGGUUGUGAGCAGCUCCUUUCGCGAAUACCUUGACGUGAUAAUACAUUUCCCAGUGGCGCGUCAAAACAGACAUCACCACAUCGUCUAUGUAAUCCCAAUACUUUUCGGUGAACUUGAUAGGGAGAUAUGAUAUCCUCUCGACUUUUUUCCGUAAGAUACGAAGGAAUGCUUCAAAGGGAGGGAAGUUCGGUAGUUCGAUCCCCUUAGCAUCUUCCAAACCCUUGAUCUCUUCUGUUAAAAAGUCUUUUGAUAGAUUACUUUCCUCGCAGUUGUGAAGCUCAUCGGAGAACCGGUUCAGCAUUUCGACAAACCGAGCAGUCCCGUGCUUCGUGUUGUCCUCGGGGUAUUCAUCAAAUUCCCCCCUCCAAAGAAGCUUCUUGAGGGAUUCUUUAGCUGCUUGAAUGAUCCUCAUCAUAGCUUGAGUGGCAUCAGCAUCAGAAGUUAAGGCCUUUGGCAUUUUCUCUAGCUCUGAAACAUUUGCUUCCAGCUUUGCACUAAUGUUUUUAACAAUCUCAGGCAAGCACUUUGCAAUUUCAUUAGCUUGAAUUCGGACAAGCUUUUGAGCCAAAACAUGAACACCCACAAUUGAUUUAUCAAUACAUGACAAAUGUGCAUUAGUUUCGAACAAUCUAGCCUCUUCCUUCCUUGCUUCUUCAUAGGAUUCAUCACCAAUCCGAUUCCGAACACAAACAUAACCAAGUCCUAUAUUCACAUCAUCUGCAGUAACCUUGUCAACAAGCCCUUCGGGGGCCCUAUCUACUUUAGUAACCACAGCAAGAGUUCUCUCACCAUUCUUGUCCACUUGUUGCGACAUCCUAAUGGAUUCACAAGUUGAAAAAUCAACCGUAGCCGACAGAACAUUAAGGAUAAUGCUUUCCUUUGGUGUUAUGUACUGCAUGAUGAUGUCCCGGAUCUGCUCAUAUAUGUUGUCAGGCUGACCAUGGACAGGAACUCUGGUAAUUCCAGGAAGAUCAACCAUGGUAAGAUCAGGAACCCCGUCUUUUCUCACCACCAAAGUCAAAGGGAUGUCAGAUAUGCUCUUACCCGGGCCUGCAAUCUCAUCAGUUGCAAUGUUUAUGGCUGUUGCAAUCUGGGGUUCCUCCACUGGGACCAUUUUGCCAUUGUACUCCAAGUAGAGCUCUGGCCUUGGCCUUGCAUGGUUCUGCAACUUGAUUAUGAGAGGUACCCUGGUGCAAAUUCCCUGGCUACGAGGAAGGUUAACACCAGCCAAGGAUUCAAGAACACUAGACUUGCCUGAUGACUGGUCUCCAACCACAACAAUUGUGGGGAGCUGUAUGCCUUCUUUCAUCACCAUGAGCAGCCUGAGCCUGUCGAUGACAUCAAGCAAAGGUCGGAUUUUGUCAUUGUAUGAUGAAAUAAUUGGAGCUUGAGCUGCUGCUGCUCCCACCACAUUAGGUUGUUCCAUAGGAGGAGUUGCUGGUUGAGAAUCUUCAUAAUCAAUGAUAACAUCAAUGCUCCCUGAAUCAGAUUCAUCAUCGCUACCCAUUUUUUAGAAGUCGAGACAGGAGUGGGAAUUGGCCAAACUUGAUGUUUUUUAUGGUUUUUUUGUUGGAAGUUGGAAAGCAAUAAACUUAAACUAAAGUGAAGAAAAAUUCAAUGAAGCAUAUUUGGCUUUAUAAUGAAAAUUAAAAUAGGGUAAAGCACCAAAAAUAGGCACAAUAAAGCGAUAGCAUCCUAUACCAAACCCCAAGAAACAAUCAAAGGAAGCUACAAUGGGAAUGGAAAACUUUAGGUUAUACUUUGAAUUGUAGAAAAUACAUCUUAUAUUCCGUAUUGGAUUGUAGAAAAUAAUGAUACAAGGACAGAAGAGAGGAAACAGAUCAAAAUCAAAUCGUGACCAACCAAAAGAUGAGUGUGUCGAUGACAGAAAGUUCGAAACAUAAACAGCCCCACUAAUUCCUACAGGAACUACACAGCAGAACUAUAUGAAACAAUGUAUUCACAUUGAAGUUUCGGAUAGAUGUCACGUACAAGCCAUGUUGCCAUUAACUCAUAUGCUCUUUGUGUCAAAUGAACUCCAUCCCAACUAAGCCGUUCAUUAGGGUUUUCGCAUACCGGUACUUUUGGAUCUCCGCACCAACUUGAUAAGCCAUAAUUGUAGUCUCCCCCAAUUCCGCAGCAAGCCUUUUGCAAUGAUAUUGGAUCAAAACCUAAUGAGAUUUUUCGAAAACUCAGAACAUGACUAGAACCAUUCACAGUACGGUCUCAUAAACUUAUGGAUGCAAAUAAAUCAGACUUACCAAGCAGAUCAGCUUUGCUCAAAAGCCACAGGAAUGCAUUGUAGUAGUCACCGUAGACAACGGUUUCAUCUGGAUGUUCUUCUUUUAGCUCAGCAAUAGCUUGUUGAAGAAGAUAAUUAUGAUAGAUUGAAAAAUUAUUCAACUCCUUUAAACAAUGAAGUUCAUCAUAAGCAGUAGAAUCAUUUGUUUGGUAUUUGGUGAGAUAUACAGGAAAGCAGCCUAUGGGGAAGUUUCCAGGAACAACUAACCGAGUAGCACCAUAUCCGAUAACUCUCUACACAGUGGAACUUAUGAGAAACAGGGUUUCAAUGAUUAGAAGUGAUAUAAUCAGAUGUCUCUUGAAAGGAAACUUACUUUGGUAGCUUGUUUUAUCGUUUCUACUACCUCGGGCACCAUGGUCUUAACCUCUUCUAUGGUUUUUCCUUGCCAAAAGGCGUAGUUAUAGUCAUUUCCUCCGAUCUCCCCAACCAUGAAAAGAGCUUUUCCAUUUUUCUUGAAGCAAUCUACCAAAUAUAACACCUCAAGUGGUUAUUUGUGUUAAUCCAUUCUGAACAUCGUUAUUAUACCUGAUUACCUAACCAGGAGGCCUCAUUAGACCAACCGCUCCAUCAUGGAGGUCUCGCCUGCAUGAUAGCUCAACCAACUAAAGACACUCAUGUGCCUUGUCACACGAGCCACCACAAGGUCAUAUCAAGAUCCACUCAGGACCUGCUCCUGUCACAUCUAGUACAGGCUCUAUCACUCGACCAUUAAGUCUACAAGAAUAAUCUAUCUUCAACCUCUGCUAGCAGCUCUUGACACUCACGUGUGAGCCACCUUCAACCUCUUCCACCACAUCCUAUAUCAACAAACAUAUAUAUAUAUAUAUAUAGGAAAGAUGCUAACCUUUGUUACCACGACAAGUUGUAUUGAAAUAGCUAAACAUCUAGUCAAGUUGUCUACUUAAAGAUAUGCUGGUAGGCACAAAGGAAACAUUCCACUUGGCUAAAUCUUCUGCAGACAUGGCAGUAGCUCCGGCAAACGCGAAAUUAAGCCCAUAAUCAAAUAAUCCAUCUUUGUUUAAGUAAGGAUCAAGAAAAGGAAUUCCAGCAGAUAGUGCUGUUCAAAUGUUCAAAACACGAAACAGUAAACACACUGGUUAAAAAAAAGUUAAUUAAACCAACAAAAAUCAAUACAAAUAUAAUCAUUAAUCAUCUUCCUAAACCUUUCUAGUAUGGGGUUGACACUUUUUUAGAGAAAAAAGAGAUUGAUUCUUCUCCAAGCAAUGCACCCAACGUGUAUGGUCUCAGUGAAGCUUUUGAUUAGAAUUUAGUAUUUUACCUAUAUAAUCAAUCAUCAACAAACCAUCGGAGCAUCUCCCAGUUGCUUUCUUGAAGGUUUCUCCAUAUGGUAACCUUGCAAAUUUUGAUAAAGGGUUGUCUUGCACAUCAUUACCCGUAUCUGCUAUGGAAUCCCCGAGCUGAUAUAUGGCAUCGAAAUUGCAGCUGCUAAGGAUAUGUUGAUUGUUGCAUGUAACGAAGUUGAAGAAAGAGAUGAUAAUUAGUAUAGAGAACACAAAACCUGGUGGUGAAGAUUUACUAGAAGCCAUAUAUGCAGAAAUGGUAUUACUGGGUAUUUAGCAUCUAAAUCUUAGCUCCCCCUAAAAAGGUAUAUAGUUGUGCUCCUACAGGUAGCUUUGAAUCAGGGACGGCACCAAAGGGGCAGUCAAAGGCCUUAGCACCCCCCAAACGGAAAAUUAUUAUUUUAGUCCCUUGAAAUUUUUUAAAUUAUAAGUUAGGUAAAAAUACACUUUGACCCCACAAGAUGAUUUUUUUUUAAUUUAAUUCUUUUAAGAUUAUAAAUAACAAACAUAUAGAAAGAUAAAAUUAUAUUUUAGCCUUUUUAAAAUUAUAUAAUUUAAUUUUAGCCUCAAAAAUAAAGUCUUGACUUGGUCCUUUCGUAUACCUACUCUUAGACAAAAAAAAAAUCAUUUUAUUUAAGCUUUUUGUUUAUUAAUAAUGAGUUUUUUUUUUCUCAAUGAUUCAUUAAAUACAAUUAAAAAAUAUUUGGAAGAGAAAUCUAGCAGUAGACUAGAUAGUUAAGAUGAUAUCUAACAGAGAGGUCGAUGUACGAGUGUUUGUUGAAGCUCCUAUGUAACUUUUAACAAUUUUACAAACUGAUAGAGGUAAUGGUUUCUUUGAUCAUUUAUUUUUAAUACGAGUAAAGAAACCUAAUUAUUUAAUUAUGGGUAAACUACACAAGGAGUCACCCAACUAUGAAGAGUUAAAAAAAAGACAAUGGUGGUAACUUUUAAAAUUAGCAUAAUAGCAAUUUAACCCUUAACAUUUAUAUAUUGUAUCAAUUUAGUCUUGAUUCUAUUUUUUUUUUAACUCUCAACAUUUACACAUUGUAUAAUUUAGUCUUUCUUUUUGUAAUUUUGUUUUUCUUUGUGACAUUGAGGGUUAAUUUUAAAAGAAAAAGAAAAGAUAAAAAGUAUUAUCUUGGAUUUCUGGGUGCUCCUAUUUUUUUAUAUAUUUUUAAUCAAAUUGAACUGAUAAAUUUAUUUUUAACUUUUUAGUUAAAAGAGUAAAGAAAAACAAAGUUGUACAAAAAAAAAAAUCAAACUACGCAAUGUAUAAAUGUUGAGAGUUAAUUGUUUGAGGAAACAAGAUUAAAUUGACAUAAUUUAUAAAUAUUAAGGGUUAAAGUUGAUAUUAUGCUAAUUUUUAAAAGUUGCCAUUGAUGAUCAGUGACCAAAAAAGACAAAAGCGAAUAAUUUAGUGAUCAUUUUGUAACUUUUCAUAAUUAAAUGACAAAAAAAUUACGUAAUUUAAUCUUUAAUUAUUUGUUUUGGACAUUGAUUAUUUAAUAACUAAUAACAUUCAAUAAUUGACGUUAAAAAAUUGUUUGUAUGAUGAAGUCAUUGUCAUCACCCAAAAGAUGUACAUAUAAAAGGAGUCACAAUCGGCCUCUACCAAAUUGAUUUUAGAAAGUAGACGCUAACUAUUUGAAAUAUAAUUGUUGUAUCUUAAUUUAUAAGUUAUUAUAUUAUUAUAUAAGCAUAAUUUUCUUUUGGUAGAUAAAGAUUAUUUCUUUCUAAAUAAUCUUUCAAAGUUAUUAAAUAAUCGUUGAAUUUUUUUGUAAUUUGGAGUACAAAAUUAAGUGAAUGUUAACGUGUUUGAGGCGAAUCUCGAUGAACAUGUCAUGCAAAUGCAACGCAUAGCUAAAGGAGUAGAUAAGAGCUUUAGACCUCUUAAAUGUCAGUUGUUCAAUUUAGUUCCUUUCUAGCUUUUAUUUAAAUGGAACAAUUGUAAUUUACACCCUUUUCAAAUGUUUAAAUUUAAUUUGGGUUAUUCUAAUGUAAAAAGUUUUAGCUUUGUCCCCUAUUUUUUUAAUUUUAUCUUGGCUCUUCAUCACAUAAUUCAUGACUUCGCCUGAUACUGUGAGACCCAAUGUUAAUAUUUUAAGUAUUCAAAUCUCGGAUCGUUUAUGAACAAAAUUUUGAAAGAAAGAUGAUGGAAUAUUGACCUUGUAGCUGUAUAAGAGCUAGAAAGUAAUAUUAUAAAAAGAUUGGAGAUUAUAAGUUAAACACUUGGAAUUAUCGAAAAGUUGUUGCAGGAAGUUCGGUAGUUUGAUCGCCUUAGCUAACCUUCAAAGAUUCUUCAUCAAUUUAGACACCGAAAUCCCCACACUGUCAGAUUCGCUUUGAAAGAAGAGUAUGUGAAAUCCAUUAUACUCUAGAGCUCUCAAAGGGGCCAUGCAAAGAGGCUUCGAAAGAAAAUUGCAUGAAGUUCCCACAAUGUGUCAUUGGUUUCAUUAUGAUAUUUUAACCUUUAAUCAUUUUAUUUUAUAUAAAAAAAUUUGAACUGAUAAAAAAUUGAUUUCAAAUUAUUUCUAUUUUUAUUUUUCAAUUUUUAGUGUCAUUAUUAAUUUUUGUGUAAUUCAAUUGUUAAAGUAUGUAGUUUGACACAUAAUUAUUGUUGUUAAUUUAGGAUAGCCAUGAAUGGGAUGCAUUGAGUUUGAAAUAUUUUAAGUAAAUUAUCAAAUUUUAUAAUAUUAGUUAAAAUUAAAAGAAUAUAUAUUUACUCCUUUCUUUUUUUCUCUUUGUAUCUUGAUUUGUGGAUUAGGUAACGAAUAUUGGUGUCCAAUUAUGUUAUGAUAAUAUAUACUUUUUUUUAUACAAUUUCUAGAAGUACUUGUAGCCUCUCUUAAGCCAUAAAUAGAAGGAUGAUAUGCUUCAGCGCACAAAAACUUACGUUUUCCUACAUUAGCAAUUGAGUUAAAACUCGAUCGGCAAAAUUUUAAAGAAAACAAAAUAAAUAAAAACUAAUCCCCCAAUUUACCGUCCACAGUAGUUCUGACAUUAUUAUAUGAUCUUCAAAUCUUUAUAAUCUAUACUAUAUAUAUAGAAUACAGACACUUGCAGCAUGUAAUAAAGCAAACCAUGAUGAUGACCUAAAUUUUAUGUGAAAAUAUUAAACCAAGUAAGCAUCAUAAACAACAAUCCUGUCCAUGACCUUGGCCACACUAUCUUUGGACUCCUUUAACACCUUGAUGCUGUUUUUAAGAUUCUCACGCUUUGCAACAAUGGCAGGAGAUUCCACCAGCAUCUUCUCCAUCCCAUGUCCAUCUGGUCCCAUCAGCUCCUUCACAAUCUCAUCAAUGUCAUUGUUUACAAGAUUAUGAACACAGUAUUGUAAAUGCAAUGCCAUGGAAUCAACCAAUCUAACUUUAAAUAUCUUCCAAUAAGCAACUGUUCUCAUCUUCAGAUCGAAAGCUUGUUGCAGGAUCAAAACGUUGGAGUGUUGUCUGAGAUGUUCGACUUGGAUUUUUCCGAAACCUUGGACCUCCCUGAGACCUUGGAUUUCUCUGAAACCUUGGAGAUCCUCAGGGUAAGGUGGCAACAUCAUGUCUGUUCCAGUUAUUUGGUUUAUGAAAUAGUCUUGUUGGUUCAUGAGCUCAUUCCACUCCCUCAUGUAAUCAGGGUUACAUGUAUAGCCUGUUAGUUUCUCCAUUUCUACAAUCUCUUUCACCCUAUUGAUUGAUUGCUCCCUCAGCUUUUGAACAAGAUUGUGAGCGGCUCCUUUCGCCGAUACCUUGAGCUGAUAAUACAUUUCCGAGUGGCGCGUCAAAACAGACGUCACCACAUCGUCUAUGUAAUCCCAAUACUUUUCGGUGAAUUUGAUAGGGAGAUACGAUAUCCUCUCGACUUUUCUCCGGAAGAUACGAAGGAAUGCUUCACAGGGAAGGAAGUUCGGUAGUUCGAUCCUCUUAGCAUCUUCCAAACCCUUGAUCUCUUCUGUUAAAAAGUCUUUCGACAGAUUACUUUCCUCGCAGUUGUGAAGUUCAUCGGAGAACCGGUUCAGCAUUUCCACAAACCGAGCAGUCCCGUGCUUCGUGUUGUCCUCGGGGUAUUCAUCAAAUUCCCCUCUCCAAAGAAGUUUCUUGAGGGAUUCUUUAGCUGCUUGAAUGAUCCACAUCAUAGCUUUAGUUGCAUCAGCAAUUGAAGUUAAGACCUUUGGCAUUUUCUCUAGCUCUGAAACAUUUGCAUCCAGCUUUGCACUAAUGUUUUUAACAAUCUCUGGAGAGCACUUUGCAAUUUCAUUAGCUUGAAUUUGAACAAGCUUUUGAGCCAAAACAUGAACACCCACAAUUGAUUUAUCAAUACAUGACAAAUGUGCAUUAGUUUCGAACAAUCUAGCCUCUUCCUUCCUUGCUUCUUCAUAGGAUUCAUCACCAAUCCGAUUCCGAACACAAACAUAUCCAAGUCCUAUAUUCACAUCAUCUGCAGUAACCUUGUCAACAAGCCCUUCAGGGGCCCUAUCUACUUUAGUAACCACAGCAAGAGUUCUCUCACCAUUCUUGUCCACUUGUUGCGACAUCCGAAUGGAUUCACAAGUUGAAAAAUCGACCGUGGCCGACAGAACAUUAAGGAUAAUGCUUUCCUUUGGUGUUAUGUACUGCAUGAUGAUGUCCCUGAUCUGCUCAUAUAUGUUGUUAGGCUGACCAUGGACAGGAACUCUGGUAAUUCCAGGAAGAUCAACCAUGGUAAGAUCAGGAACCCCAUCUUUUCUCACCACUAAAGUUAAAGGGGUGUCAGAUAUGCUCUUACCCGGGCCCGCAAUCUCAUCAGUUGCGAUGUUUAUGGCUGUUGCAAUCUGGGGUUCCUCCACUGGGACCAUUUUGCCAUUGUACUCCAAGUAAAGCUCUGGCCUUGGACUUGCAUGGUUCUGCAACCUGAUUAUGAGAGGUACCCUGGUGCAAAUUCCCUGGCUACGAGGAAGGUUAACGCCAGCCAAGGAUUCAAGAACACUAGACUUGCCUGAUGACUGGUCUCCGACCACAACAAUUGUGGGGAGCUGUAUGCCUUCUUUCAUCACCAUGAGCAGCCUGAGCCUGUCGAUGACAUCAAGCAAAGGUCGGAUUUUGUCGUUGAAUGAUGAAAUAAUUGGGGCUUGAGCUGCUGCUGCUGUCACCACCCUAGGUUGGUCCAUAGGAGGAGUUGCUGGUUGAGAAUCUUCAUAAUCAUUGAUGAAACCCAUGCUCCCUGAAUCAGCUUCAUCAUAGCUACCCAUUUUUUAGAAGUCGAGACAGGAGUGGGAAUUGGCCAAACUUGAUGUUUUAGAUGGUUUUUUUGUUGGAAGUUGGAAAGCAACAAGUUUUAACUUAAGUGAAGACAAACUCAAUGAAGCAUGCUUGGCUUGAUAAUGACAAUUAAAAUAGGGUAAAGCACCAAAAAUAGGAUCAAUAAGGUGAUAGCAUCCUAUACCAAAUCCCAAGAAACAUUCAGAGGAAGCUACAAUGGGAAUGGAAACUUUAUGUUAUACUUUUUAUUGUAGAAAAUACAACUUAUAUUCUGUAUUGGAUUGUAGAGAAUAGUGAAACAAGGACGCAAGAGAGGAAAUAGAACAAAAUCAAAUCGGAACCAAUCAGACGAUGAGUGCGUCGAUAACAGAACAAGUUCCUACAAGAACUAGAUACCAAGUAUAUUUUUCUCUUUAUUCCUUGUUUUGUGGAUUAUAUAACGAAUAUUGAUGUACUAUAUUUUUCUCUUUAUUCCUUGUUUUUGGAUUAUAUAACGAAUAUUGAUGUACGAUAUUUUUCUCUUUAUUCCUUAUUUUUGGAUUAUUUAACGAAUAUUGAUGUACGAUAAUACUUUGGUAUUGUUUUUACGUCAAAACAAAUAUGAUAUUGGACUUCUUCCCCCAAACAUUUAGACUGAUCAGUUAUUAUUCGAAAAAUUUUACCUAAAUACCAUAUUAAUAGAUGAGAACAUCUGUAUUUAAAAAUAAAAAUCCAAAAAGAUGAUUGCAUACCAAGGCAUGGAACAUUGGAAUCUUGCUACACAAAAAAGCAAAACAUGCAAUAAGCAAACCAUGAUGAUGACCCAAAUUUUAUGUGAAAAUAUUUAAAUUUAAUUUGGGUUAUUUUACUGUAAAAUAUUUUAGCUUUGUCUCCUAUUUUUAUAAUUUUAUCUUAGCUUUUCAUCAUAUAAUUCAUGAUUUCGCCUGAUAUCGUGAGAUUUAAUGUUAAUAUUUUAAGUAUUCAAAUCUCGGAUAGUUUAUGAACAAAGUUUCGAAAGAAAGAUGAUGGAAUAUUGACCUUGCAGCUGUAUAAGAGCUAGAAAGUAAUAUUAUAAAAAGAUUGGAGAUUAUAAGUUAAACACUUGGAAUUAUUGAAAAGUUGUUGCAGGAAGUUCGGUAGUUCGAUCCCCACACUGUCGGAUUCGCUUUGAGAGUAUGUGAAAUUCAUUAUACUCUAGAGCUCUCAAAGGGGACAUGCAAAGAGGCUUCGAAAGAAAAUUGCAUGAAGUUCCCACAAUGUCUCAUUGGCUUCAUUUAGAUAUUUUAAUCUUUAAUCAUUUUAUUUUAUAUAAAAAAUUGAACUCAUAAAAAUUUAUUUCAAAUUAUUCUAAUUUUUAUUUUUCAAUUUUUAGCGUAAAUAUUGAUUUUUGUGUAAUUUUUUGUAAUUCAAUUGUUAAAGUAUGUAGUUUCAUACAUAAUUAUUGUUGUUUCAAUUGUUAAAGUAUGUAGUUUCAUACAUAAUUAUUGUUGUUAAUUUAGAAUAGCUAUGAAUGGGGGAUGCAUUGAGUUUGAAAUAUUUUAAGUAAUUUAUCAAAUUUUAUAACAUUAGUUAAAAUUAAAAGAAUAUAUAUUUACUCUCUCUUUUUUCUCUUUGUAUCGAAUAUGGUGUCUGAUUCUGUUUUGAUAAUAUCUGCUUUUUUUGACAUAAUAUCUAGAAGUACCUGUAGCCCCUUUUUAAGCCAUAAAUAAGAGGAUAAUAUGCUUCUGCGCACAAAAACUUAUAUCUUCCUACAUUGACAAUUAAGUUAAGACUCGAUUGGCAAGAUUUUAAAGAAAACAAAAUAAAGAAAAACUAAUCCCCCAAUUUACCGUCCACAGUAGUUCUGACAUUAUUAUAUAAUCUUCAAUUCUUUAUAAUCUAUGCUAUAUAUAUAGAGUACAGACACUUGCAGCAUGUAAUAAAGCAAACCAUGAUGAUGACCUAAAUUUUAUGUGAAAAUAUUAAACCAAGUAAGCAUCAUAAACAGCAAUCCUGUCCAUGACCUUGGCCGCACUAUCUUUGGACUCCUUUAACACAUUGAUGCUGUUUUUAAGCUUCUCACGCUUUGCAACAAUGGCAGGAGAUUCCACCAGCAUCAUCUUUAUCCCAUGUCCAUCUGGUCCCAUCAGCUCCUUCAUAAUCUCAUCAGUGUCAUUGUGUACAAGAUUAUGAACAUGGUAUUGCAAAUGCAAUGCCAUGGAAUCAACCAAUCUCACCUUAAAUAUCUUCCAAUAAGCAACCAUUCUCAUCUUCAGGGCGAAAGCUUGUUGCAGGAUCGAAACAUUCGAGUGUUGUCUGAGAUGUUCGACUUGGAUUUCCCCGAAACCUUGGAGGUUCACACAGCAAGGCAGCGGCCCCAUGUUUGUUCCAGAUAUUUGGUUUAUGAAAUGGUCUUGUUCCUUCAUGAGCUUAUUCCACUCCAUCAUGUAAUCAGGGUUACAUGUAUAGCCUGUUAGCUUCUCCAUUUCUACUAUCUCUUUCACCCUAUUGAUUGAUUGCUCCCUCAGCUUUUGAACAAGGUUGUGAGCAGCUCCUUUCGCGAAUACCUUGACGUGAUAAUACAUUUCCCAGUGGCGCGUCAAAACAGACAUCACCACAUCGUCUAUGUAAUCCCAAUACUUUUCGGUGAACUUGAUAGGGAGAUAUGAUAUCCUCUCGACUUUUUUCCGUAAGAUACGAAGGAAUGCUUCAAAGGGAAGGAAGUUCGGUAGUUCGAUCCCCUUAGCAUCUUCCAAACCCUUGAUCUCUUCUGUUAAAAAGUCUUUUGAUAGAUUACUUUCCUCGCAGUUGUGAAGCUCAUCGGAGAACCGGUUCAGCAUUUCGACAAACCGAGCAGUCCCGUGCUUCGUGUUGUCCUCGGGGUAUUCAUCAAAUUCCCCCCUCCAAAGAAGCUUCUUGAGGGAUUCUUUAGCUGCUUGAAUGAUCCUCAUCAUAGCUUGAGUGGCAUCAGCAUCAGAAGUUAAGGCCUUUGGCAUUUUCUCUAGCUCUGAAACAUUUGCUUCCAGCUUUGCACUAAUGUUUUUAACAAUCUCAGGCAAGCACUUUGCAAUUUCAUUAGCUUGAAUUCGGACAAGCUUUUGAGCCAAAACAUGAACACCCACAAUUGAUUUAUCAAUACAUGACAAAUGUGCAUUAGUUUCGAACAAUCUAGCCUCUUCCUUCCUUGCUUCUUCAUAGGAUUCAUCACCAAUCCGAUUCCGAACACAAACAUAACCAAGUCCUAUAUUCACAUCAUCUGCAGUAACCUUGUCAACAAGCCCUUCGGGGGCCCUAUCUACUUUAGUAACCACAGCAAGAGUUCUCUCACCAUUCUUGUCCACUUGUUGCGACAUCCUAAUGGAUUCACAAGUUGAAAAAUCAACCGUAGCCGACAGAACAUUAAGGAUAAUGCUUUCCUUUGGUGUUAUGUACUGCAUGAUGAUGUCCCGGAUCUGCUCAUAUAUGUUGUCAGGCUGACCAUGGACAGGAACUCUGGUAAUUCCAGGAAGAUCAACCAUGGUAAGAUCAGGAACCCCGUCUUUUCUCACCACCAAAGUCAAAGGGAUGUCAGAUAUGCUCUUACCCGGGCCUGCAAUCUCAUCAGUUGCAAUGUUUAUGGCUGUUGCAAUCUGGGGUUCCUCCACUGGGACCAUUUUGCCAUUGUACUCCAAGUAGAGCUCUGGCCUUGGCCUUGCAUGGUUCUGCAACUUGAUUAUGAGAGGUACCCUGGUGCAAAUGCCCUGGCUACGAGGAAGGUUAACACCAGCCAAGGAUUCAAGAACACUAGACUUGCCUGAUGACUGGUCUCCAACCACAACAAUUGUGGGGAGCUGUAUGCCUUCUUUCAUCACCAUGAGCAGCCUGAGCCUGUCGAUGACAUCAAGCAAAGGUCGGAUUUUGUCAUUGUAUGAUGAAAUAAUUGGAGCUUGAGCUGCUGCUGCUCCCACCACAUUAGGUUGUUCCAUAGGAGGAGUUGCUGGUUGAGAAUCUUCAUAAUCAAUGAUAACAUCAAUGCUCCCUGAAUCAGAUUCAUCAUCGCUACCCAUUUUUUAGAAGUCGAGACAGGAGUGGGAAUUGGCCAAACUUGAUGUUUUUUAUGGUUUUUUUGUUGGAAGUUGGAAAGCAAUAAACUUAAACUAAAGUGAAGAAAAAUUCAAUGAA
Molecule: long non-coding RNA, 44909 nt
Filed under: Gossypium barbadense (sea-island cotton)
Lineage: Eukaryota; Viridiplantae; Streptophyta; Magnoliopsida; Malvales; Malvaceae
Description: long non-coding RNA (GBAR_LNC022118)
Source: RNAcentral